This 70355-nucleotide long non-coding RNA is filed under the name Vitis vinifera (wine grape). Its description in RNAcentral is "long non-coding RNA (VVIN_LNC001392)". The stretch from base 20616 to 20687 matches the Rfam family "tRNA". Lineage: Eukaryota; Viridiplantae; Streptophyta; Magnoliopsida; Vitales; Vitaceae. The record is from RNAcentral.
GUAUGGAGAGUGGGACUAACCUUGGAAGCAAAGGUCCCCUGAGGCCAGUUGAGCAACCCGGCAACCAUUUGCCCUGUUUGAUUGCAAUCGUCAUCAAUGGCCUAGAAAACCCAUGCCCACAUCAGAAAACAACAAUCCACCAUAAAAAGAGUCUAGGAUUUUCACGGAAUCCGCAAAUUUAUUUUUAAAUCGUUACCAAAAACCCUAAUCUCUGGGCACGAAUUCACAGACCUGUUUGCCCAGAAUAAGGAGGCCAGGCUUCUCCACAUCGACGAGAGCUUUGAGAAGCUUAGCAACUGAAAGUGGGUACAGAGUGGCGGAAGCUUCGACGUGGAUGGCCCUAUCGGCGCCCAUGGCGAGACCCGUUCUGAGCGUGUCGACGCACUGGCUGGGACCCACACUGACAGCGAUAACCUCCGACGCCAGACCCGAUUCCUUGAUCCUCAGAGCCUCUUCCAAACCUAUCUCACAAAAGGGGUUCAUCGACAUCUUGACGUUGCUGGUCUCCACGCCGCUCUGAUCGUGGGUUGGCGAUUGUUAUUGGAUGAUGAUGAAAUUACAGAUACUGAAUAACUUGAGAGUUUGGAUUUGGGUUACCUUGUCGGAUUUGACUCUGAUCUUGACAGCGUAGUCCACAACACGCUUUAUCGCCACCAUUAUCUUCAUCUCGUAUAUGGGUGGUUAUCUUCUCCGGCACAAGGGUAUUGGCAAAUGACUGAUGAUGAAGGACGAGGAUAUUCGCCCGAGCCCUACUGCACGACACCACAUCCGCUUAUAAAAUCUUUUGAUACGGAUAAGUACAAGGGAAGUGGAAAAAAAGGAUUAUUAAGAAAAAUAAAUAUAUUACCAAAAAAAUUAUUUAAAAUUUUGUUCAUGUAGAAAGAACCCGUGAAUCAGAUCGAAAAAAUUAUAUUAAAACUGCUGUAUAGCCGAAAAUUGUGUACAGAAUUUAUUUUAACAUUGUAUUAUUGAAUUUUUUAUUCAAAAAUUGCUUAACGUGAGAUAGAAAUUAAAAAAUCAUUAGUAAUUUUGUCCGAAAGUUGUUAUAUUUCAUGUGUUUUAAAAAUAGAUGUAAUUUAUUCCUAUUUGCAUUUUUAACGUACAUUUAAUUAAAUAACCCAAAAAGUUAUUGAGUUCACAUCAUCUAUGGAGUCUACCUCUCUUUGCUUUUGUUGCUUCCAAAAAUACCAUACUCCCAUAUUUUUUUGGUUCUACUCAUUUUACUUUAUUUUUUUCAUUCCAUUCAUUCCACGUGAAGUCUUCAAUCCUAAUAACAUUUACUAUAUUACAAUUAAGUUUAAUUUUUAAAAAACUUAAUUAGGGUUAAAUUUCCUUUGAGAGAACUUCAUUACAAUUAUUUGAGUUGUACGUUAAGUUUCAUUUAAAAAUAACUUAUUUAAAAAGAUGUUAAGCUUCCCCUAUUUUAUUUAUAAAGUUUAAUAUCUAUUUGAUUUUAUAUUUGAAAUCCAACUAAAACCUAAUAACGAAUUGUUGUAAAAAAACUCCAAUCAAAAUACUAACAAAAAUUAAAACAUAAAACUCUGAUAAAAAAUUGUUAAAAAAUCCAACAAAAAAACAAUCAUAAAAAACCCUAAUCAAAAACAUCAUGGAAGUUUAAAUGAAAUUGCCAAAAAAUAAAAAGUAUAGAAAACCCUAACAAAAAAACAACACCAAAACACCUGACAAAAAACAAUUACAAAUUCUAGCACAAAAACCCCCAAUUAAAAAUAUCUAUAAAGAAAAACCUAAAAAAAACCAAUUAUAAAACCUCCAACAAAAAAUAAAGAGAAAGAUGAAGAAUAUGAAAAAUUUUGAAGAAGAAAGAAACAUGAGAGAACUAUCAUUGAUCUUUAUUUGUUAAUCUUUGUUAUAUGUUUGAACUUCACUAGAAAAUGAGAGAGAGAGCAUAAACCUAAAGAGAGAAAGAGCUGAAAAUGAGAGGAGAAAUGAAUCACAAUGAGGGGAAUGACAAUUUGAGGAAAUAUAGAAGGGUUAAAUCAUUUGAACUAGGUUAACGUUUUUAUUAAAAAAAAAGAGUAAUGAAGGUCCUUGUUCUAAUUUCAAGAGUAUGUCUGUUAAUUACCAAAUGUGGCAACUCUAAAUAAAAUCCUUUGUUAUCAACUAAAACUAAAAGUCCCAUUACAUCAUAUCCAACUUUCAUUUGUUAUCAACAAAGUAAAACUAUAUACAACUAUUAUCACCAUCUCUCCUAUUUUGAUGUUAUUUUCUUAGAUGAAUUUGUAAAUCAAAAUUUACACCACCCAUAAAUUUUUUGAGCUUCCUAUUUAACACAACUUCAAUUUGUUAUACUUUGAACAUCACAAAGAUAAAGUAAUCAACAUUUUGCUUGGACAAGUUUUUCUUCUCUAAAGUUUAGAGUCCUAUUUCACUUCCCGUUUAUGGGUUGUUAGUUCAUCUAAUAUCUCACCAUCAUCCAUUCCAUGUACUGUGUUUCCGAAAUGAGUUGAUUCCACAUCCUAAAUGUCUGUGCAAAUUAAUAAGGAAUGUCGAGUUACCAAUUUUCUUAAAAGCUUAAUCUUGCAAGAUUUGGAUUCAAAAUGCAUAUCAUGCUCUCUUUAACACCCCUCCCCCCUCUCACAUGUAGCCCUAUACCCACACGUAGAGAAAUAGACUUAUAGGAAAAUUGGUAGUUUAAUAUAGUAUCAGCACUUGGUUUGGUGGGAGGUCUCCUGUUUGAGUCACCUCUCCACAAUUUACAUUUCUCCUAUUUGUUUAAUUUACAGUUCUUCCCUUAAUCUGUAAUUCUUUGGAUAUAAAUUUUCCCCCUAAUUUGUAGUUUUGUGGAUAUGAAUCUCUCUUCCAUGUUCAGGUAUGGGGCCACACAUAAGAGAGGGUGUUAAAGAGCAUGAUAUGCAUAUUAAACCCAAAUCCUAUAAGUUAAAACUUUUAGGAAAAUUGGUAGUUUAACGCUUUUAGGAAAAUUGGUAGUUCAACAUGUGUACACCCCAUUUUGGGGACUGCUAUUGCUCCCACUUCUUUUUGUCAAAUGGUGGAGCUUUUUAGGAGCACAUGUUGUAUUUGGAAAGGCUAUUAGAAAAUGGCAACAUGACUGUUAAUGGAAGUAAUGAUUUUCUAAAAAGGCAACCAUGGGAAGACACAUAACAAAGAUGUUUGGGGAGGAGGGAGAGUGUGCAUCAAGACUACUCAUGAGGGGUAAGAAACAAAAAAAAAAAAGUGUCGAAGAUAACUAAAAAAUUGGAGAAACAUAAAGGAAUAAGGAUUUUAGGGCUAUGGAUGGUGAACAAGAGUGAAUUAUGGGUGUCUAGGACAGCUAGGAAUGGUGAGAGGAGUAGGGAGCUGUAGAAGGUGAUGAGCUAGGUAAGAUGUAUUUUCGAGAAAGAAAAGAACCAAAGAAAGAAGGUGGUGAAUUAAGUGAGACACGUCUCAGAGAAGCAGAGAAAGUUGGCUUGAAGCCAAGCAAACUUUUGCUUGAGAUGAGCAUUGCCUAGUAAGAUUGUUUCGAUUCAUCGAUUAUUACUGAUCAUCAUACUUCUCUUGUCUUAUAUUCAUGUGAUUAUUUUACAUUGAUUGUGGGGUUGCUUUGGUUUGGUUAUUAUGGCUUCAUCCUCUAUUUCUUUAGUUUUAUUCAAGGAUAAAUCUAAUUGUGCUUUGAUUAGUUAUUCCAUAUUUGAAAAUCUUUGUGUAUUUUGGGUUUUUUCUCUUUAGAUAUUUUCUAGAUUAAUCCACUGACCUUUAAACCCACAAAUAAAGAAAAAUGAAAUGAGUUUUUUCAUAUUUGUUGGGUGUUUGGCCCUUGUUUAUCUUUUUUUAAAGCUUUAUUCCUUUAUAUUCUCUAUUUCUCCCCAUUUUGUACAUGGGUGUUUCAAUCAGAGUCUCUAUUUUGGCUUCCACAUUUGAGAUUUCUUUUAUGAGCGAAGACCCAAAAAUGGAGACUGGCUUCUUGUAAUUGAUAAAAUAGUUAGUCACCCAUUAGCUUAGAUGAAGCAUAGAUGUUAACCGGAUUGUGAACAUGGAUACUCUAUUUUGGGCCUAUUAGGCCUUCCAAUCCUCUCUUAGUUUCAUUAUUCUUGAGGAUAGUGUUUGGUUGUGUCUGCUACUUAUUCUGUGGCUUCGGUGGUCUGUUUGUUUAUUCUUGGCUAUUAUCAAUGCUAACAAUGGGAAAGAGACUGGUUUUGGUUAUGCUCUUACGGAUUUGAAGGUGAUCAAAGGGUCCAGUGAAGAGAAGAUUAGUAGGUCAUAUUAGGUUAAUUAAUUAAUUAGGACAUGUUUUGAGUUAUAUUAAGUAAUACAAGCUCUUAGUGGGCUUAAGUAACUUAAGCCUAGUGGGGAAUGCCAUAAAUACCCCUUAGGGGUUAGCAUUUCCAUAGGUUUUUCUAGAGAGUCAUCUUUCACCUCCAAAGAAGGAGAGUCAUAGCCUUUACCAUUUUUUCCAUCAUUAUCGAAGUGUGUCAAGAUUAAGGUUUAAGUCAUUGAGCGGAAGACUCCAGGUUUAUGAGACUUCAUACAACUUCGUUUUUCAUUUUCAUCAAAUGGAAUUAAUUUGAAAACAUUUGAAUCUGAAGUAUGGUUUUUGUUAGCAUAUUUCGAAUCCCUUUAAAGUUUAAAAAUGCAAAUUUUCCACUAUGUAUAGGAUUUAAAAUCGCUUAAGAUAGUUAAACAUGUUCCCCACUUGAUCUGAAUUGGGAAACGGAGAAAUCUGAUAUUUUCCCAUCACAAGGUAGGAUAAGAACUUGUGAUUGAUCUUUAUGGAUUGGACUAAUUAAUUAAUUGGAACCUAAUUAGGCUAAUUAAUUAAUUAAGACCUAAGCAAACUAGUUUAAGUUACACAAGCCUAGGAUGGACUUAAGUGACUUAAGCCCAUGGGAAGCUUAUAUAAACUCCUUUAGGGGUUAGGGUUUCAAACUUUUAUCAUCUAGUCUUCAAUUCCUUAAAGAGAAUAGAACUCGAGCCAACAACUCUCCUAAAGGAUUCUAUUGCUCCGUGUCAAGAUUCGAAAAAAAACUAUUUGAUGGAAGGUUGUUAUGUUUAUGAGAUUCGUUAUGUUUUUUUACACCUUUUCACUAAAUGGAAUUGAUAUAGGAAUGUUCAUAUCUCAAGUGCAACACACUUAUUCUCUUUAGAUUUAUAUUGCUUAUGGUUUUUUUUUUUUUUGUCAUGGUUUUCCGUUAAGAUUAGAUUAAGAGAGCCCUAUGUCAUAGAAUGCUUCAAAUGAGCCUCCCCGGGGGUUUGUAUAGAGCCCAUGAAGCUUCUAGAGACUCCUAUACUUAGCCAUUGGUGGGAAGAGUGUGAAAGGUUCUACAGAUGUCUAGAGAUAUUUACACAUCUCUACACUAUGGUGGAAGGCAUGAGAGGAGUCUAAGGCAUUCUAAAGAAUUAUAAAGAUCUCUUAUAUAUUCUUGUACAUAGGCUUGUACAUAGAAUUGUGUAGGAAGUUAUAGAUUAUUCUUGAGCUGUAAGGAACCCUCCAAGGUUCCAGAGAGUUCCAUUGGUGCCUAUAAAUAGGUGAAUGCCUCAUUUGGCCAAGACACUAAGCAAGUGAAUUCCAAAACACUUGUAAAGCUUCCUUUGAAUAAUAAAAGUUUCAAUUCUUCAAGAGUUGCCUAUUAUGCCUUCUAAAACUUCUAAGUCAUGAGCAUCUUAACCUAACAAGUUAAGCAUUGGGAGUAAUGCUAACUUAGCAAGAUCAAGGAUCUUGACUUGUCUAAGUGUUGCACGAUCUUAGGAAAAGAUUAAGUUUGUGACAGUUGGUUUCAAAGUGUGACUACGAAGUGAGCAUAGUAAAGGAAACAUGUCGAGCUUCAACAUGGAGGAAACUAGUGAGCAAACCCGUGGGAAAGAAACCGAGCCUACUGCAUAGGACAGGGACAUGAAGGAUAAAUCUCGUAAUGCCAUAGCCAACGUGGAGGCAAGGCUAGCCAAGGUGGAGCUAGCCAUGGCAGACACCCGGGAAGGGGUGGACUUAAUCGAGCAAGGCAUGGAAAAUGGCUUAGAGGAUCUAAAUGAGCAUAUCCAAGACCUUCAUGAGAGAGUGCUAGGCUUACAAGUUCGGCCGAUGUCAUAUGAGGAGUUCAUGUCCUUCCAAAACGAGGUCAUGAGCAUGUUUGCUAGCAUGGAGUCGAAGGUGGAGGCCUUGGCUGCACGCAUAGAGGCCCAAGACCAAGAGGUUCAACAAGAGCUAGCUAUCUACAAGACUGUCUUAUCAGCACGAGUCAUGGCCACUCAUGAGGCACUAAGGGUGGAAGUGCCCAAACCACACACGUUCAAUGGCAAGAGGGAUGCCAAGGAGUUGGACAAUUUCUUGUGGCACAUGGAGCUCUACUUUGAGGUUAUAACACUAAUAGAUGAAGCCACUAAGGUAUGUACCACAACCCUCUACCUCACCAAUAAAGCUACUCUAUGGUGGCGUCAGAGGUUUGCCAAUAUAGAAAAAGAAAUGUGCACCAUAGACACAUGGGAUGCCUUUAAGCAAAAGAUCAAAAAACAAUUAUACCUUAAUGAUGUGGCUUACCUAGCAAGGAAAAACACAAAAUGUCUUAAGCACACAGACUCGAUCCGUGAGUAUGUCAAAGAAUUCUCUACACUUAUGCUUGAGAUACCCAACAUGUCUGAGGAAAAGCUACUAUUCAACUUCAUGGACAACUUGCAAAGCUGGGCCGAGCAAGAGUUAAGGAGAAGUGGUGUCCAAGACCUAGCCACGGCCAUGGCGGUAGCGAAGUCCUUGGUGGAAUACAAAAAGGGAGACUCUUUUAAGCCCAAGCCACAGUCUAAGGGUAAUCAUGCUAAAGGUGGGGAAACAAGGGAUCAAGGAGGUACACUCCUAAGGAAUGAUCAAGCAAGACCUCUGGUGGCAAGGAUGGUAAGGGUAAGGAUAAACGGAAAUAGUUCACGCCUAAGAUCAAUUGCUUCCUAUGUGAUGGUCCACAUUGGGCGCGAGACUACCUCAAAAGAAAAGCCCUAAAUGCCAUGAUCGAGGAAAAGUAGAAGGAAGACAAUGCUCAUGUGGGAUCAUUACAACUCUUAAAUGAUAUCAAGGCUAAGUCAGUGCUUAAGACACCUCAAAGUAAAAGUCUAAUGUACAUAGAAGCCCUUGUAAAUAGGAAGGCUACCAAGGCUUUGGUGGACACUAGUGUCACUCAUAACUUUGUCUCGAAGGAUAAGACAAAGAACUUAGAGCUCCAAGCAUCUAAGGAAGGAGGUUGGCUCAAGGCAAUUAAUUAAGUUUCCAAGCCAUCACACGAAGUAGCACGCAGGGUGGCAAUGCACAUUGGCUCAUGGGAAGGAAUGGUCGACUUCACAGUGGCACCCAUGGACUACUUCAAGAUGGUACUGGGAAUGAACUUCCUAUAGAAAGACAAGGUCAUGCCACUACACUUCCUACAUUUAAUGGUUAUCCUAGAGGAUGAAAAGUCAUGCAUAGUCCUUACGGUCACCGAAGGUUCACCCAAGACCCCUAUGAUAUCGGUUAUGCAAGUAAAGAAGGGAUCAAAGAGGAAAGAGGUGACCUACCUCACCACUCUUAAGGAGGAAAAUGAUGAUGAGUUGGGGGAGCCCAUGCCUAAGGAAAUCAAGAGAGUCUUUGAUGAGUUCAAGGACGUGAUGUUGCCUAAGUUGCCUAAAAGACUCCUUCCUAGAAGAGAGAAAGAUCAUAAGAUCGAGUUAGAUGCAGGAACUAAGCCCCUUGCUAUGGGGCCAUAUAGGAUGGCACAACCCAAGCUGAAAGAGCUAAGGAAACAACUUAAGGAGUUGUUGGAUGCAGGGUUUAUCCAACCAUCCAAGACUCCCUAUGGCGCACCGAUUUUAUUUCAAAAGAACCAUGAUGGGUCCCUACAGAUGUGCAUCGAUUACCAAGCACUCAAUAAGGUAACAAUAUAGAAUAAGUACCCCAUUCCACUCAUUGUUGAUCUAUUUGAUCAACUUGGUAAAGCAAGGUAUUUCACUAAGUUGGACUUGAGAUCAGGCUACUACCAAGUGAGGAUUGUGGAAGGAGACAAACUGAAGACUACAUGUGUGACCCGAUAUGGCUCAUAUGAGUUCUUAGUGAUGCUCUUCGAUCUCACCAAUGUACCAACAAUGUUUUGGACACUCAUGAAUAAGAUCUUCCAUCCCUAUUUAGACUAGUUUGUGGUGGUAUACUAAGAUGACAUAGUCAUCUACAAUAGCAUCUUAGAGGAGCACGUGGAGCAUUUAAGGAAGGUCUUCAAGAUCUUAAGGUAAAACGAGUUAUAUGUAAAGAAGAAGAAAUGCUCAUUUGUUAAAGAGGAUGUGAGCUUCCUAGGGCAUCGCAUCAAAGAUGGCAAGCUGAUGAUGGAUGACAACAAGAUGAAGGUCAUCUAGGAAUGGGAUCCACCUACUAAGGUACCUCAACUAAAGUCUUUCCUUGGCUUGGCUAACUAUUACCAGUGGUUCAUCAAGGGUUACUCUACAAAGACAGCUUCACUCACUAAUCUUCUUAAGAAGAACAAGGCAUGGGUGUGAGACAAAAGGUGGCAACAAGCCUUUGAAGAUCUAAAAAGUGUUGUGAUUGAGGAGCCAAUGUUGGCAUUACCCAACCACAUGAAGGUUUUUAAGAUACACACAGAUGCCUCAAACUUUGCUAUUAGGGAAGUUCUGAUAAGAUAGACAUCUAAUCGCCUUCAAGAGUUGCAAGCUAAAUGACAUAGAGAGACGCUACAUGGUACAAGAAAAUGAUAUGACUGUCAUUGUCUAUUACUUGCACACCUGAAGACACUAUCUUCUAGGGUCUCACUUCAUAGUGAAAACCGACAAUGUUGUCAUUAGUUACUUCUAAACACAGAAAAGUCCUAAGUAAGCUAGGUGGCAAGACUUUCUGGUUGAGUUUGACGAUGCGCUGGAGUAUAAGACAAAAAGUACUAAUCAUGUGAAUGACGCCCUAAGCCGUAAUGUAGAGCUAGCAUUCAUGACGAGCCAGCCCCAAUGAGACAUAAUAGAUCUUCUAAGAGAGGGGUUGCAACAUGAUCUAGUGGCUAAGAGCCUUAUUACCUUGGCCCAUGAGGGAAAAACUAAGUGUUUUUAGGUAGAGGACGACCUACUCUACACUAAGGGGAGACUACUCUACGUGCUUAAGUGGGGGAACAUAAGGUAGAACUUGAUUAAGGAGUGCCAUGACACCAAGUGGGUUGGGCACCUUGGGCAACGACGCAUAAAGAGCACUACUCGAGUCAGCUUACUACUGAUCUUAGAUACAAGAUGAAGUUGAGGCAUAUGUGAGGACUUGUCUUGUGUGCUAACAAGACAAGGUAAAACAACAACAACCUAGAGGCUUGUUGGAGCCACUACCUAUAGCAGAGCGUCCAUGGGAGAGCAUCACCAUGGACUUCAUCAUCGGGCUACCUAAGUUGGAGGGCUAUGGCUCGAUCAUAGUGGUAGUGGAUAUGUUCUCUAAGUAUGUGACCUUCAUAGUAGCCUCUACUGACUGUACUGCAAAGGAGACAGCAAGGCUAUUCUUGAAACACAUGGUCAAAUACUGGGGGUCGCCUAAUUACAUCAUCAGUGAUCGCGAUUUGCAUUUCACUAGGAAGUUUUGGACAAAGCUCUUUAAGCUUAUGGGUUUGAAGCUUCACUUCUUCACAAGCUUUUCACCCGUAAACAGAUAGGCAGAUUGAGAGGGUGAACGCCUUAUUAGAGUUAUACUUAUCCUUCAUGAGUGUCAACCAAAAGGAAUGGACUAAGUUGCUAGAUGUAAUCCAAUUUUCAUACAACUUGCAAAGAAGUGAGACAACCAACAAGAGCCCGUUCAAGCUAGCCAUAGGGCAGCAACCAUUGACUCCUCACACACUACCAAUAGGCUAUACGAAGAGAAGUUCAGCGGCUUUGAAGUUCACUAAGGGGUGACACGAGCCAACUGACAUAAUAGCUCAUACUUGGAUAGGGCCGCUAGAAAGAUGAAGAAGUGGGCUGACAAAAAGCGACAUCACACUGAGUACAAGGUCGGAGACAUGGUCUUUGUCAAGCUCCUUCCUAAAAAAUUCAAGUCACUAAGGCCGGUACAUAAAGGCCUUAUGAUGAGGUAUAAAGGACAUUUCCCCAUACUUGGAAAGGUCGGCAAGGUGUCCUAUAGAGUUGAGUUACCACCGAGGUUGAAGAUUCAUAUCGUCUUCCACGUAAGUUACAUAAAAUCAUAUCACGAAGACAAGAAUUAUCCAAGCCAAGGGAUGUCCUAGAUGACACCUACAUCGAUUAUGACCUUCUAUGACAAGGAAGUAGAACACAUCAUUGCAGGCUGAGUCAUCAAGAGAUGAGGCGUGCCUCCUGCUACGGAGUACUUGGUGAAAUGGAAGGGACUACCAGAGAACGAGACUAGCUGGGAGCCAAUAGAUGCACUAUGGCAAUUUCAGGAGCACAUUAAGUGGUUCUAGGUGGAAGGUGCGACAAGGACGUUUACGGUUUAGGUAGGGGAGAGUGUCAUAGAAUGCUUCAAAUGAGCCUCCCCAGGGGUUUAUAUAGAGCCUAAGAAGCUUUUGGAGACUCCUACACUUAGUCAUUGGUGGGAAAAUGGUGGAAGGUUCUAAAGAUGUCUAAAGAUAUCCACACAUCUCUACACUAUGGUGGAAGGUAUGAGAGAAGUCCAAGGCUUUCUAGAAAAUUCUAGAGAUCUCUUGUAUAUUCUUGUACAUAGGCUUGUACAUAGAAUUGUGUAGGAAGUUUUAGAUUAUUCUUGAGUUGUAAGGAACCCUCCAAGAUUCCAAAGAGUUUCAUUGGUGCCUAUAAAUAGGUGAAGGCCUCAUUUGGCCAAGGCACCAAGCAAGUGAGUUCCAAAGCACUUGUAAAGCUUCUUUUAAGUAAUAAAAGCUUCCAUCCUUCAAGAUUUAUCUACUACGCCUUAUAAAGCUUUCAAGUUGUGAGCAUCUUAACCUAGCAAGCUGAGCAUUGGGAGCAAAACUGACUUAGCAAGAUCAAGGGUCUUGACUUGUCUAAGUGUCGCACGAGCUUAGGAAAAGACUAAGUUCAUGACACCUAGGACUAGUAGCAUGCACCCUAAGUAAUCCAAGGCUAGAAAUGAAAUGAUACAAGGAUUCCCAACACUUGACUUAAUUCCUUAGAAAUUGAAACUCAAUAAAAAACAUUAGUGUCAUUAACCUCAUUUUUUUUAUUACCAAUACUUAAUUAGGGGAAACCUUGAGCUAACAACCUCCUCAUUUUUUAUGAUGAUAAAACUGUACCAUCUAAAGAAAGCUUUCCUUAAUGUAUGCAUAUUAUAAGCAAUUUAAACAUUCAUCAUAAAAGAUGGAAAACAUAAACUCAAAUGGAGACAUGGAUAUAUAGAUAUAAGAGACAUCAUAAAGGUUGCAACAUGAUCGUAUAUCCGAAAUAGCAUCCAAAAGCAUGUCAUCCAAAAAAAAAUCAACCAUAAUAACCAUGUUCAAAUUGUCCCAAAAAGGAAAAAAAUAUAUAUAUGAAACAAAAAGUAUUAAAUAGUUUACUAAAUGUUAUGCCCUAGAUACCUAAAGAUAUCUCCCCCUUAGGCAACAUCGAAACAAUGAGGGAACUAUAUGGCUCAAGGUUGAGGUGGUGGAAACAAGGAACAUAGGACAGCUAUUGAAGAAGCUAAAAUUCUUCAUAAAUGAUUGAAUUUUAUUUCACCAUGAGAAACAAUACAAAGAGGGAUUUUUUUUUUUUUUUUUUUUUUUUUAUCAAGGGGAAGACCCCUUUCUCUUUACUACUUAUCCCUUUUAAUAAAAAUUCUUCCACAUUUUUCCACUUUAUUUUGCCAACAUUCUUUCAACCCCUUUUGCACAAAAAUGCCAAAGAUAGUAUUAGGAUAACCUUUUACAACCAUUGCUAACUUUUGACACAAGUUGCUAAAAAUUGUUGAAGAUUUGCUUUUAAUGUCAGGUAGGAUAGCAGAUUGGUUCUAAUUGAAGGUCAUUUCUUGUGGAGGACCUUACUUAUAAGUGAGAUGAUUGUUCCUAUCUUCAUGGUUUUAUGUUGUAUAGUUAUAGAGACUUUUUAGAGGCUAUCAGCUUUAGAGCAAAUUUAUGUUGUUUGUUAGGGAUUAAGUAUUUUAUUCAAAUUGGGUGAAUGGUACUACCUCUUUACUUGAGAUGGCUUUGAGAUUGGGUGGUUGAAUAGUAGUACUUUGGAAUGGUCUAGUUUUUGUUCGCUUUAGCUAUCAUUUUCUUAUGCUGUGUCUAUAGACGAGUGGAGACGUCAUUUGGAAAUUGGUCAAAUUGCCCGUGAAAUUGAUCAAAUUGUCAAGUUGUCAUCCUAAAAUUGACUAAACCUAGUUUGUAAAAAUGAGAAACGACCGUCACUAGCGACUAACAUCUUCUCAAGCUAAGUAUUAAUAGAUCCAAUCUGAGCAUAAAGGGCAUCUUAAUGUUGCAGGUUCAAUGCUCAUGAAGCAUAAUAUUUUGGAUACUUGGUGUGAGACACCUCAGCAUAAGUCUAAUCCAUAAGGAUAGUCUCCUCAGGAGGUUGAGAUGUGGGCAAUUGAAUGGUGGCAUCCAUGCCCUUGGUUUGCAUCUCCUGUUGAACAUCCUCACCCCCUAAUCCUUUAUGGUCACCCUCAGUCUCUAUCUAUAGAAUCUCUGCCUCUUACUCAACCCGGUCUUCAUUCAUAGCAGGACCCUUUCUUUUUCUUUCCAAUGAUCCAUUAGGCAAUUUCUCAAACAGCAUUCGGUCUGGAUUUUACGUUAUAGGUAUCAUAGGAUGAGGCCUGAAUGUUUUUUUCUCUUCUUAUGUCCACAUUGAAUGCUUUCAGGAUUUUUGUGAUCAGUCUUCUUCCGUUGGCCACUACUUUAGAAUUGCUUUUACAACAGUUUUUCAUGUGUUGAAAGAUGAUAAGGAAACCUUAGAAUGGAUCGGAGUCAAUAGAAAAUGCUACAUAAUAGGACACCUUGUCUCUAUGUCCACCCUUAGGUAGAAAAAUAUGUUUGAUCAUGUGGUGGUGCACCCUAGAGAUAAUGCUCAAGGCAUGGGCAUGGAGCUUUGAAGUCACUGUGUCGAUGGGUAAGUUACAUAUCCUCUAGAAAGCCCUACCUAGGUUAAAACUAGACACUAUAGGCCAUCCCUUCGUCUCAAAUAAACAAAGUCCCCCACAAAGGAUCUCCAAAAUAUCACAAAGCAUAUCAAUAUUUAGUUUAAUUCAACUCCUCUAACAAAUGUGCUAAUUGGCCUUCAUAUAUUUUAGGUUCAAGUAAAAUACCUGAACAAGGUUGGGGUAUGUAGGCUCUCUUGAUGAGAUGGUAUUGGUGAGUAUUUUUUUUUCUUCAAUACAAAACUAUUACAACACUUGGUUUUUUUUUUUUCUAAAAAAAAAAGAAAAAUAAAAAUAGUUUUAUAUUAUACUUAGUUUCAAGAAAAAUAAUAAUCAAAGCAAAAUGAAAAAAAAAUUCUCAUAUUGGUUUCUCGUGAAAAAUAUAAAAGCAAAUAAAAUACAAUUAAAAUUAAUUAAAAUCUUAUGUAUUUUUAAAUUAUUAAUUUUUAUAUAAAAAAUGAAAAAUAGUAUAAUGAAUUUAGAAGAAUAUAUAAAAAUAAUGUAUUAACUUUAAAUCUUUUUUUCUUUAUAUAUAUAUUUUCCCUUCAAUUUUCUAAUACCAACACAUAAUAAGGUUAAUGUCUUCUAGCCAACCAAUUGUAAGUCAAUUUUCAUAGAGCUUUUUUUUUUUUUUUUUUUUACAUGCCACCAAGUAGUUAUAUAAGCAUUUUUGCAUGUUAUUGUUAUCCAACAUACAAUAACUAUAACAUCCAAUUAUUAUGAACAUGAACAAUAAAAUUAGAUGCAACUAACUAUUUAGUGUAUAACAAGAAGUUGGUGAAGUAAUUCAUCCUAACAUGAUUCAACAAUUUUUGUUUAUUUUUCAAGAUUAAUUAUAACAUACCCAUUCUAUUAAAGUUGUUGAGAUAUUUGAGCAAAACUAAAAAUCAACAUUAAUUCAUUUUAUACCCACAAGAGAAAUAAGAUUUGUUUUUUUGUUUGAUAAUAAAGUAGUUGUAGUUAUUAAUGAUAAUUUUGAUCCUAAUUUAAUAGGUAUCCAAAAAAAAAGGAAAAAUGCAAGUAAACCAAUUCUUAUCUAACACAAUUAUUACCACCUUAAAAUCCUGAGGGGUAGCUCAGUUGAUCAGUUCGAGUCCCUUUAGGACCAUGAAAAGCUUACCCGAUGGUUCACCUUAAGAAAAGCAAAGCAUUUAUAUAAUUCAACUGGUAGUUGAUAAGUCUUAGAAAGGGUUUUGCCAUCAUUGGCUUCUCAGUAAAGGGCAAAUUUGGGUUGUGGCUGACAAUUAUUGAAUUUGUGAAGAAAUAUGUGAAGAAAGGAAACAAAAAGAGUUGAGGACAGAAUUCUUCAAUUAAAAAAUGGUUAGCCCAUGAACCCAUUCUUCAAACAGUAAGCCAAUGAGCCAAUGAGCCAAAAAGAAAGAAGAACAGCUGGUUUCAUCUUUUUAUCUUAAUGACUUUGACAACCCAUCUUUCUUUUAAAUACUUGUGACUUUGGAAUAUAAUUAAAAUGAAACUUUGGAAUGCCCACAUCUGAUUCACGGCCUUUUUACCUGUUUUCUUGUUUAACAUUUUUUUAAAUAUUAUAACAGAUGGAAAAACAUGAUUCUAACAGGCUGGAAAAUAGUGGAAGUUGGAACACCAACCAUAACCAAACUAUACCUUCCAUCUUUCUCCAACACUCGGAAUUAUUGAUACAAGUUGGUGGUUUUAUGAUUGUUUCUAUUGAGGGGACCCCUCUCCAUUUCCAAUUUCAAUGGAAAGGUUCUUCUUUCCCUACUUUUUUUUUUUGUUUUUCAAAUUCUUGUAGUUUUGUCUGUCUCUCUCAACAAAGCAAACUGCAAUCACUAAUUCAAAGAAAAGGAAUCCUAAAUGAAAAGAAAAGAAAGGAAAGGAAUGGUAAUUUAGGCUAUGAUGAUGCUCCUAUAUAAUGGCUGUAAGUCAAUAACAACACACUGGACCCGCCUCCUAUCUCAAAAGAUCACAAACCCAAAUAUCAUAUACUUCCAAAUUUCAAUUUGGUUCCCUGUUUAUAUCACAAUCUGUCCUAUAUCCUCUUAAUACAUCUAAAAUCUCUCUAUAUCAUAAAAAUAAUGAUGGAAAAAAAAAUUAAAAAGAAAGAAGGAAAAAAUGACAAAAAAAAAAAAACCUUGGUGCUGCUAUGGGUCCAUAGGAAUUGGCAGGACUGCACUUCUGGAUCCCCUUCCAUGGCCAAAAGAAAAGAAUGAUCUUCGGAAUCUGCUGCUGCAACCUUCACUAGGGCUGAAGUCACUGACAGGCCUGUUCUGUUGCAAAAUCUCUUGAAUUGCUAAAUACAGCUGCCUGUCGUUGGAUGAGUCCAUUGAAAAAGACCUCCUGAUGGGUUGGAUUGAGAACUGAUCAUCUUUGCCUCUAGUGUCAAUGCACUCAUCACCCAUGCUUGCAACAUGAUGAAACUUCCUUGCCUUUUUAGGCACAAUUCUCUGCUCUAGCUUCCUAGGUGAUGGACUAAUUGAUGGCGCAGAUAACUCUCUGGAAUUCAGUCUUUCUGGUGGCCUAAGCAGUGAUGAAUCAGCAGAACUAUCAUUUCCCAAUUCAAUUACUACAAAAUCUUCAUCCCCUCCUAUGUAAUUAUUGGCGUAGGGGCUUGGAUCUUGGGGGGAAGAGCUAGGAGCAAUGAUUUGGUGAACAGGAAACCGGGGUGUGGUUGAAAUGCUUGUUCUGCAAAGUGGGCAAUUAGCAUUGCUUUGAAGCCACACGUCUAUGCAAUCUAUAUGAAAUAUGUGACUGCAGUUUGGUAUGAUUCUUAGCUUCUCUUCUUCUUGAAACUCAUUCAAGCAAACCGCACACUCGCAAUGGCUUCUUUCUCCAAACUCUCUGCCACCUCCUUUCCUGAACUGGAAUAUUGGGAUUGAUCUGAUGACUGACUCGUCCAGGCCUCGACUCUCGAUUGCUGGGGAGUACACCAUUAAAGGGUCUUCCGGGUGCCGACUCCUUGAGAAAGAAAAUCGUCUCAGCAGAUCAAUCCGGUGCCAAUUGAGGCAGCAUUUGAUUACAAAGAUGUAGUAGCUCACCAGCAAGAAAGCAGUGGCCAGGAUUCCUAUUACGGCAAUGGCUAUAAUGGGGAAACUGGUGUCCGAGGAAUGAGAGGGAGAAGGAAGCACUGAGCUCGCCUGGCUUUUGAUGGGAGAAAAGGCUUGUGAUCCAUGGAUGGAGGAGUCUGUGCUCACAAGAUCCAUGAGAGAGGCUAUGAAAAACAUUUAGAAAUGAGUCUAUUCGGAUCUUCAAUUCACAGAAACAUGCAAAUGCUAGAAUAAAAUCGACAGACACUCAGAUAUAGACCCUACAGUUGUAAUGCAGCAUACCAUAAAUGUGAUUGAGUGAGUGAGGCUGAAACAGCAAAUGGGUCACUUCAAGAUCUCAACAAGACAGAAAACCCAUGUUGAAUUCACCAGGAGAGUAUUGAAAAGGGAAAAAUUAAGGACAUAUAGCUGUAUUGAAAGUUGAAACAAAUGCAGAAACAUAGAGAAGAGAGAGAGAGGGAGAAAACCCAGGAGGGUUGAAUGAGAGCGCUGCUGGGGAAGACAUCAAAACGCUUCAAAUUCAAUGAGAAUCUGUUGGGGACCUCUUUAAGAGGACUGCACAAAGCCUGAGCGUAGGGUACGUGGUUGGUUGGUGAAUUUCUCGGCUUCCAAAAGAGAAAUUUGGUGAGAAAAUUUUCAAGUCUCUUGAUUAUAGUAACGUAGCGUUUAUUUUAAUUUUAUGUAACCGAAACUAAUGGGCUGGUUCAAAAAAAUAAAAAAUAAAAAAAGGAACUUUCUAGGAUAGGCCAGCAGUCCACCGUUGGUCAUGUGGUUUCUUUUGCAUGUCCACAUCUUCCAACUAGUGGAGGUCCCUGUCACAACAGUAAGAAAACACCCAAUUGAAUAAAAGUAUGAACUUUUGGCUCCCAAUAUUACUUAUGCCCUCAUUCAAUACCUCAAAUAAAGCAGAGAUUUUGUGUCCCAACUUUUAUGAUUUCAUUUCAUCUUACUUCAAAUGCUAAUGACAAAAGUCCAAGUAUAUUCUGUAAUCACCCACACCCCAAUAGUUUUGAAUCACACUUGAAAUAGUUCCCAUGCUUUCUUAAUAAUUUAGAUAAUUAUUUACAGAAAAAAAAAUUCAGAACAGGAUGAUAAUCAUUUUGUGAUAGCAUGGAAGAAACUUUACUAGCCACUUUGGCCCCAUGAAGUUGAGUACUUGAUGCCAAUUAAUGGCAGGGUGGAAAAUAGAGAAAAGGGAUCAUAGUCAAAUCUAGAGUACAAGGCAUUGAAUCUUUGUUAAUAAUUAACAAAUGGGUAAAGCAUGGGUCACAGGGUCUACAGUUUGGAUUGCAAAAACCUCAGGCUUCUAUAAAAAGCUCAUCCAUUAUCAAUCAUCAAUCUGAAAGCCAGAAAGUCCAAGGCACAUGCAACCCACGACAGGGGUAAGAUUUCUGCAUCAUGUCCCUGAGUUGCAUUCACAUCAUAUGUUUCCCUCCGGGCCGUUCCAAUUUGAAAUCUCAUGGAAAUCUUCAAGAGCAAGGCUACAGAGUUUAAGAUAAUACUAGGGGUGGGUCCUGAUGGGAAAAGAGGUAGUGUAGGAUAGUCAAUAAAGGGCAUGUGUCUCUGGUGUGAAGUCAAAUCCAGUGUACCAUCCUCAAUGGAAAAUUUAGAAAUAGAACCGACACUCUACAGACUGCCGUGUUGACAGAUUAGAGAAAGACAAACCCACUUACACUUGCCUCAAAACCCAGUCCUGCCAUUUCAAAGGCAAAAAAAAAGGGUUUCUUUUUAUAGUCAAAGGUUGAGGCCUGGCCUGGCCUAGCAAAGAAACUUCACCUACUCUUUUCUUAUUUUUCAAAUUAAGGCCAUUCAACUUUUCCUGUUUGCAGGCUUGCUGCCAUAUCUUACUCCAAAAAAGGUGAAAACCCAAAAGAAAAAGAGUGUUUGCUUCAAUGGAAAACUCAUGUUUAAUAAAUUCACCGCACGAGUUUUGUUCCAGCUUUUCCUAUGAAAGCUGUGAUGCGUUUGGUAUGAAGUUGAUUUUGUUCCUAAAAAUUUUGAUCUUGGCGUGGAAGGCAACUUUUUCCUUUUCCCCCUUUUUCUUUUUGAAAAGUUCGGCAUUAGUUACCAAAUGUCCUUUUACUUGCAUGUAGGACAGCGGAAGCAUUACACAUCGCAGCAAAAUCCCAUUUACCCGAAUUUUCCACUAACUCUUUUUAUUUUUUACCAUCAUUUUUUAAUAGAAGUGAUGCACUCUUCAAAUUACAUGAAGCUUUUAAGAAGGUAAUAACCCGUUUCAAAGCGAACUUAACCUACAGAGUAUGUUUUAAAAAUAUUUAGGUAUUUGAUAAAAUUUAAAAAAUAUUUUUUAAAAUCUUUAAAAUGAUUUGUAAUAUUGAAAAUUUAUUUAUACUUUUUUUAAUAAAAAAACAUUUUAUAGGUAAUUUUUCUAAAAUACUUUUAGAGAAAAUGUCUUCCCUUCACUAUAAAUAUUAUAUACUAUCAAAUACACUUUAAAAAUCUGUUUAACAAUAAUUUUAUAAAGUGUUUUUAAUUUUAAAAAUAUUUUUAAAAACAAAUUAAAUUUUUGAUAAAAUUUAAAAAAUCUUUUUAAAAAUUUUGAAAAAUAUCUCGUAAUAUUAAAAAAUAUAUAUAUUUAUAAUGUUUUUUAUAUAAAUACUCAAAAUUCAUUUAAUAGUGAUUUUAGGAAAUGUUUUUAAUAUUUCUAAUACUUGAAAAUUUUUUAUCAUUUAAGUAUUAAAAAUAUUAAAAACACUUUAUAAAAUCACUUUCAAAUGGACUCUUAAUGAUUUUACUAAAAACACUUUUCAUAGAAAACAUUUAUAAAAAAUAAUUAUGAAAUACACUCUAAAUUAAGUAAAAGUUGUUUUUAACAUUACCACUAUUUAUUAAUAGUGCAUUUGUUUAAAAUAUUUAUAUGAAAAAUUCAUUAGGGUGGGAUAUAAAUAUAGAAGUGUUUUUCUUUAUAUAUUUUUUAUAAUAAAAAAUGAUUUUUGAAAUUAUAAAAUUUGAAUUUAAGAAUCAUUUGAUAAUAAUUUUUGUUAAAGCACCUUUAAUACGUGGUGCUUCUAUUGAUAGCGCUUUCAUUUCUAUGAAUGGCUAUAAAUUAUAUUUGAAUAAAUUUUUUAUAAUGUAUUAUAUAAUAAAAAAAAAGUCAUUUUUAAAAAAAUUAUACAUUAAAUGAUUAUUCAAAUAGUAUUUCCUAAAUUUUAUUAAACAUUUUUUUCAAAAAAAAAAAAAAAGUUUUCAAAUACUAGAAAACGUUUUUAAUCUCUCACACGAUCACAUCCAAACAAGUCCUAAUGCUACUCCUAGAAACACUCCAAAACAAAAGUCUUCCUCUAUUAAUGUUCAUAAAAUCCACAUAUAUUCUUCCAUCGUUUUUUCAAAAUUCAAAAUCAUUUCUAAAACAUCAAAUCAUGUUCUUUGGAUUGGCUGACUUGUUUUUUGAAAAUAGAAGGCUCAUUAUUGACGUCCGUUGACUUCAUAACCCAGUCUUGAUCUCUUGAUGGAGGGCAUAAAUGUAAAUUGGACGAAACCCUAGGGUGCGCUAGAGUGUAGAGGAUGAAAGGUUGGAAAAAGGAUGAGGUGGGGGUGUAAUAAAGAGGAGGGUUGGGAGAAUGGGACAUGUGUAGGUGAAGCAUUAAAUUCAAGACUAUGCUUACCAACAACAUAUAAAUAAAUAAAUAAAUAAAUAUAGGAACAGCACAUGGGGUGAGUAGGAGACAUCAGAAGAUGUGAACAACCCCUUGUCAGUCCAAUUUGCGUCUUUUAUCUACUCUAUUAUCUAUAUCGAUUUUCGUAUUUAUUUAUUUAUUUAUUUAUUUUUACCAUUUGAUUUUGCAUGGAUGUCGAAGGGUUUAUUGGCUGCCACGUGUAGGGUUAUGGUCAAGAUCACGUGGGGUGCCUACAUGGGAGUCACGUGAGUGCAUGAGGCAGGCUUGAAUUGCAGGAGGAGCAGGAGCAGAGCAGUGGCUGUUGUCUUAAGACUUUGCUCUCUUGGUGGAACUGCAGCUUAAGCAGCAUCCACGUGUUGUCACGUGCAAUGCGAGCCAUCCACACCACCAGUUUCUUUUUAGUGAUUUUCUAAAGUCAGUUAAGGUUGCAGUCAAUACCUUCAAAUGUUGACAGAGUUAGGGAUCUUUGUUAAAUGGAUUUUAUUAAGAUAUUAGUAAGUUAAUUAAUUGAGGGUCAACAUAACAGAUGGGUCGGGUUGGGUUGAAUCUGAAUUUAAAACGAUUUAAUUUAUGUUUAAUCAAAUUUAACAUUUAACUCGAAGCACUCAACUUAAGUUUAAUUGAAUCUUAGUUUUCAAAACAUUAUUUAAAUUUGGGUCAUUUGGAUUAAAGUCAAAUGGGUUAGAUUAAUCGGGUUAUAUGGUUCAAAAUCCACUUACCUUAUUUUUUAUACAUUAAUAUUAAAAUUUAAAUAAAAAAUAUUAGAAGAAAUUUCAAACUUGGGAUUAGUUGAUUGUAGCCAUGCAUUUGGAUGUUGGUAUUCUUGUUUCUUGUCUUGUUUCCAAAUACCCUUUCAAAUCGCUUUGUUAUUCAAUAGCAUCCUCCCGAUCAUUUAAAAAUUUAAAGAGCAUUGGUAUGAUGGAGGAAUUCAGAAAUUUUAGUUGAAUAAGUAAAAUUUUUCUCUCAUAAAACCAAAUAGCCUCUAUAGCUCAGUGGUAGAGCGUCAGUCUUGUAAACUGAAGGUCUGUAGUUCGAUCCUGCAUGGAGGCAACUUUUUAUAUUUCAUGAUCCAUUAUGCUCUAGUGAUUUAGUUUUCAUUAUAAUUUUAGAUUAAAAAAUUACAUCAACAUUUGAUAAGUUGGUUAUGACUUUGAUAUAAGGAUGAAACUAUCAAUAAUAUAUAUAAAUAUUUUGACACAAAAUAUCUAAUAUAUUAAAAAAUUAAAAAAAAACUCUAAAAAACAUUAUAAAAUUAUAUAUAUAAUUUAUCAUAUUUAAUAAUAAUAUCUUCUACCCUAAUAAAAAAUAUAAAUUUUAUAAGCAUACAUUUAUUAUUACAUUGUAUUAUAUAUUAUUUUACAAGAAUAUUAUGAUAACAUGUCUAAUUUUAAAAUAUAUUUAAUAUUAAAAUUAUCAUCAAUUUUAAUUUAAAUGUAUUUAAUGAUAUCAAAUAAUAUAUAUAUAUAUAAUUUUUUAAUAUUUAUAUAUUUUUAUAUUUAAUAAAUAUAUAAAUUAUGUAAAAAAAAAAGACCUAUUAAGAAGAUUAUGUUUUUAUAUUUGGAUCAAAAUUAAGUUUUUCCGAUAAAAUAUAUGAAACUAUUGAUAAAUUAUUGAUUGAAACGUGAAAAAAAAAAUUCAAAAAAUAGAUGAGAUAUUAGUAAAAUAUCCGAAAAUAUUGAUUGAUGAAUAUAUCAUUUCAAAUUUUGCAUCAACAUCCACAUAUGUUGGAUAUAUUGGCCAAAUAUAUUUAAACCUUGUUUCCAUGAGAAGUCUUUCCUUCAACAAUUUCAAAAGGUUAAUGAGGUGGUUUCCAAGAGAUGUGUGUAGGGGUCUCCAACGGGCGGGCCGGGCCAGCGGGCUUUUUGAAAUAAGCCAAAAUGGCUUUCAAAAAAGGGAAGGGAGAGGAUUUAAACCCCUUCCUUCAUGCUUAAAUUUCAAGGUUCUAACCAAUUGAACUACAUUCCUUUAAUGUUUAUUAAUUGAGUUAGUUAUAUAUAUAUAUAAAAAUAAAGUAUAUUAUUUUUUAAAGGGGCGGGCCUACGGGCUGGGCCGGGCCGAAAGCGGGCCACGGGCCACGGGCUUUUUGGAGACCCUUGGAUGUGUGCAAUCACAUUUGGUAUUAUAGGUGACAAAGUUUGAUAAAUGAGUAAUUAUUAGGUUAACUUAUAAAAUCCGAAUUUGAUUUAAAUUGAUUCAUUUAAUAAUCCCAUUUAUUUACCCAAUUAAAACUUUAAAUUAUUUAACUUAUAUUUAAUUUAAUUAAAAUUUGUUUUUAAAUAAAUAGAUCAAUUAAAACAUAAACAUAUUUGAUUGAAACAUUAAUAAUAUAGAUUUAAAUAAGACCUAAUUCAACCUAACGAUCAAAUAGAAAUAUCUAAUUAUUAAAUAAAUUAAACAUGUUACUUGCUUAAUAAUUAUGUGACAUUUGAAUUUAUGCUUUUGAUAUAAUUAUUAUUUAUAUCAGGUUUAUAUAAUGAAAUAUCUAGACUUUGACACCAGUCAACAUUGUCCACCAAUACAGAUUGCAACUCUUAUAUGCUACAUCACAUCAUGUUGAAGGAAGAGGAUGACGUUCAUUGGCAGCAGAGCCUCCAAUCAUAAGGAGCUUGAGCAAAUUCAAUCUCAACACUGAAAUUCACUAGAAAAAAAGUUUAUUAUUGAUACUUCAUUUGUGUAAAAGCAUUAUAUUUCUUGCAUCAAUCGUAAAGCAUGACAUUCCAGUAGGUACGGAAGAGAAAAUUUGUUAUGAAUUGAAAAAUCUGUCAAGCUUAAUUUGGAGGGCCCAAAAUUGACACGUUUAAGAGCUCUAUCAUUAGCCCAAUGAUAAGAGUCCAUUUCUUGAGUUUCAAGGAAGGCCCAAGUUUAACUUAGAGGGCCCAAUCUUGGUACCUUCUAAAAGGUGCAAACUUUGGCCCAAUUAUAAAAGCUUAUCCUUGCUUCCUAAGCAUCAAUGAUAUAUUUGAUCGAAGUAUUCACAUAACUAUCACGAAAUGAAAUGAAAUGAAAAUGUAUAAGUAAAUGAUGAUUUUGAGUUAUUUACUGACAAUAAAGAAUUAGGUGGUGUUUGUUUUUUUUUUUUUGGCUUUUUACUAAAAGCAAUUUGUUUUCAGAAUUUAGGUUAUUUAUUUUUCUAUUUUUUCAUGACUUAUUAUAAACUUUUUACUAAAUAAGAAAAUCCAAAAUAUAUAGUUUUUUCUAAAUAGAAAAAAUAACAUAUUGGUUUUCUUUUUUUUUUACUUUUUAAUAUUUAAUAGAAAUAAAAUAUUAUAAAAACAAACAACCUAAUAUUUAACACUAUUAAGUAUUAAGGUUUUAUUUAGAAUUAAGUAAAAAAACAAACACUACCUUAAAAUGAAAAGUAUGUAUAAUGACCUUAUACAAAAAAAGUCUCAUUAUUUUCUUCCAAAGAACUCAUACUUUUGUUUUUCAACUAUUACUUUGUUUUUAUUUUUUAAAUAAUAUUUCAAGUUUUUUUUAAUAAUACCUUUCUCUUUAUUAGAUAAUUUUAAUGACUUUAAAAGUAUUUUAAUAUAUUAAUUUAUUAUAUAAUUUUAAUGAUUUAAAAAUAUUUAAAUGUUGAAAUAUUUAUUUUCAAGUCUAAUUUUAAUUAUUUAUUUUUUGAAGUAUUUAAAUAUAUAAUAAAUGUGGGAUUAUGUAAAUCUAGUUGUAAUUAUUUAUUUCAUUCUAUUCAUGUUUUUAGUUGAAUUUGCUCAAAAUUUACACCUCUUUAUUUAAAGAUCAUGGAUUAGUUAGGUGUCUUGAGAUUUUUUUUCUCUCAAGACACUACUUGUUACACUAGAAAAUAAUUUGUGGCUAUAUUUUUUAGGCAAAAAGAAUUAUAUGUUAAAACUUCCUUUAUUGACUAGUUUAUCAUAGGGUGUAGAGGAAAGUUUGUGAUGUCUUUUUAUGUCAACUUUGGGAGAAAAAUAUCACUUUAGCAUUUUCCUUAGAAAAUUUUCAUACAUAAUUGAUUUUGGAACUAUGGAGGAGCAUAAGUAGGGAUAGAUAAUUCGAUUUUGGAAAAAUUAUAAUAGCUUUUCAACUUGGUGUUAAUGAUAUAUUGUUUAUUUCUUAUUUUUUUUCCAUUUUAAUAUAUAAUUGGGGAUUUUAAACUUGUAGAACAAGGCUUUUUCAAUUGAAUUGACACGUACAUAUGAAAGUUCUCUUUGGUUGCUAAUCACAUUUUUUUUUCUUUUGCUUUUUGUUUUUAUCAUAAUGAAUAUUGAACUCGAAAUUCAGUUUUUAAAAUCUUAUGAUGUUUUAAAGUUUAUAAAUAUUAUUGAUUUUUAUAAAUGAUGUUAUUCAUAUCUUGGUAAAGACAAUAUUUUCAUAUCGGUCAAGAUGAUUAAUAACAUAUAAGUUCAUAAAGAAAAACCUAUUGAUUAAUGGAUAUUUAAUGAUUUUUAUUAGGAAUGUUUUUUAAUUAGUUUCAAUACUCAUCUUUUAGAGCAUACAUAUAGGGUUUUAGAUGCUACAUUGGUUUUCAGCUUGUGAUUUAAAUUAUUGAAGCAAAAAAUGAGGGUUUUGCUUUAUGGAACUAUCUAAAGGGAGGUGAAUUAGGCGGUCUUCCUUUUUAAAAUCCAAAAAUUAGAUUUUUAAUACUUAUAUUAGUUAUACAUGUGUUCAAUAAUUAAAACAAAGAACAAGUCCAUAAUUUACAUGUGAUGUGCAUGGAAAAACACCUACAAAUUCUCUCAAAUACUUUACAAAUGAAAAAAAAAUCAAGGAUCGAUCAAUCACAGAGCAACUUCACUAAAUAUGAAAACAUGACUAUACAAUUUUACUUGGAUGAGGUGCUACCUUCUCUUAAGGGUUUUUACACUAGCCAACAAUUACACUCACCUUCACUCUCACCAUGCACCUCUAUUGUGCUCCAUAGUAAACACUUUAAUGACUGUAGCAAGAUUGCGAUAAAUUACUGCGAUUAAUUUGAGAGUGUUGAUAAUGAACAAAAAAUAAUGAUAAUUAACUAGAGAGCAUAUGAUUUUGUAAAAACACCAAAAAGAGGCAUAGUUAUAAGUGAAAACUUUAAUGGAUUGGAUUGAAUAUAUAAUUGAAGUAUGAAUGAAAAAUUACCAAAACAAUGUUCAAAACCGUGCUAAUCAAAGCACAAUCACUUGAGUACUCUCAUGGGGCACUUGAAUGCUCCUUUUAAUCACCGUAAUGCUGAAAUUAAUAAUUUGUCUCAAAUUGUUUUUCCAAAACAUAAAGCAAAAUAUUAUAAAUUUAUAUAAUCAAACCCAAUUUCAUCUUAAAGCUAGCCUACUUAGUCUUAAUUCAUGUCCAAAAAUACUCAUACUUGUCAAAGAAUGAAUAUGGUAUAAACAAAUUCUUUAUUUUCAAUUAUAUUCAAUUAUUGAAAGAAUAAAUCGGUUUACAUACAUUUUGAACAAAGGUAUAUACACAUAGACUAAAUCAAGGAAAUGAGGAAAUCAAUCACAAUCAAAUCAAAAUCAAAUGAUAGGUUGAUAUCUAGGAGAAGGUUAAGUUAGAACCAACUCAUGUAUUCAAUAUUCCCCCUUAAGAUGGCAUAUGGAGAUCAUGAAUAUCAAACCUAGAAAGUAAGGGAUAUGAAAUAUCUAUACCAAGGGAUUUUAUGAAAUAUCAACCAAUUGUUGUUGUGAUUAAACAAAUUGAAUAAGAAUAAUUUCAUUUCGAAUCUUUUCAUAGAUCAAGUGACAAUCAAUUUCAACGUGUUUAUUCUGUUCAUGGAAAAUUAGAUUAAUAGCAAUGUAUAGAGUUGUAUUAUUGUCACAAUAUAGAUGCAUUGACCAAGGAUGAUGAACUCCAAAAUCUAUAAGUAAAUAUUGCAACCAAUGCAAGUAGUAAUCAUUAAAUAAUAUUUCACUUUUCUUCAUGAGUGUUAUAUCAUUGAUUGCUUUUUAGAUCUUCAAGAGAUUGAUAGGCCACCAAGUAAAAUACAAUACCCUAUAAUUGAACAUCAAGAUUAUGCACAAUAGGCAUGGAGGAAGGCAAAAGAAUUCCUUGACCUAGACGAUUUUUUAAAUAGUAUAACACUCAUGUACUUGUGAGAUAAUUGAGACUACAUUGGCUUGUCAAGAAUUUGAACAUAAUUAGCAAUAUUAAGCCCUAUCAUUAUGAGUCAAAGUAACUUCCCAAUCAAAUGCCUAUAAUAAGAAGCAUCCAACAAAGGUUCUCUAUCUAAUUUACUCAAUUCCAAAUUUUGUUUCCUAGGAGUUUUUAAAGUUACAUGUUCCAAGAAAACCAAAAUCUUUUAGUACUUCUAGAGCAUGUUUUCAAUAACUUAAAUAAAUCUCAUUCUUAAAAUAUGUCAUUUCAAUGAUGAUGAAGUACUUUAAUUUUCCAAUCUCUUAGUUAGUUUGAAAAUGCUAUAUAGGUUUUCCUUGACCACCUUAAUUCCUUUAAGAUCAUUCAUUGUAAUAAUUAUAUCAUAAAUGUAAACAAGAAUGAUUGUGAAAUAGUUAUUUGAGGCUUGAGCAAAUAAGAAGUAAUAUGUACGUCUUGGCUUGCUUGUAAACCAUAAACAUCAAUGUGAUAGAUAAUUUGGCAAACCAUCAACGUGAAGCUUGCUCAAGGCCAUAAAGGGAUUUUUUAACUUUGCAAAUCAUAUUUUUGGUUCUAGAUUUCCUACAAACUUGGUGGAAGCUGCAUGUAUACCUCUUUAUCUAAGUCUUCAUAAAGAAAAACAUCGUUGAUGUCAAGUUGGUGAAGAUGUCAAAUUCUAAUUAUACAAUAAUUAGGGGUGACAAUGUGUCUUAUCGUGUUGAGGUGAGAAAUAGUGAAAAUUUACUUAAUCCGACUAUGACCCGUUUGAUAAUCGUGUCAAAAUAACCUAACAUGAAUACAAUUAGUUUAUUUCAUGUAACAUGACCCUUUUAACAUGUUUAAUAAAUAUAUUAACUUGGAUUAUGUAUUAAUUGACAUGAAUAACUCAUUAACUUGAUUUCAACCCCUUAAACUCAUUAACACAAUUCCAACCCAAUAAACUCGUUAAUAUGAUUUAACUCAUUAAACUUGUUAAUAGGAUUAUAACCUCUUUAACCUAUUUAAAAUUUUAAAUUUAUAAAUAAUAAAAUACUUCUAGAAAGUUUAAUUUUUAAAAUUUGAACUAUAAUACAUGUAUGCACCAAUUUCAUGAAGUCCUGAAAAAUUAGCAAAAUUAUAGAAAAAUAAUAUAAACAAAAAUUUGUAUUAAAAUUAAUAAGUAUGGGCUACAAUAUUAGUCAUAGUACUGCUUAUUUCUGAAUGACUUUAUUAAAAAGCGAAGAAUACAUGUGUAGUUCUUAUGUGAUUUCUUAAACUUGUAAGGCGAUUUUAUAAAGUUUUUUUUUUCUUUGUGAAACCUCUUUUUCUAUGUGAAAUUGUUUUGCCGAUUUGAAAUCUUCAUUAAAGGAAGUUACUAUUAUUUAUAAUUGAAAUUAGAGAAUGAAAUGUGGAAUCCCCAUGAUUUAGUUGCUUAAUUCAAGGAAUUUGAUUAAUUGAUUUUGGUAACUUGUCUCAUAAAAUUUUCUAACAAGAAUAUUUAUUUUUAAUCUCUUUUAUUUCAAUUGGAAUAUUUGUUUCCUUUGUAAAUUUGUCAAUAGAAUAUUUAUUUAUUUAUUUAAUUCUCUUUUGACUACAAUGAGAAGAUUUGAUUUUGUUUGUAAGACUAAAUUUUAUAACCUUUCAAAUUUGGCCAAGUGACACCUUUUGAAUAUAUGUCACAUGUCAAAUGUGUGUGACUCAUUAGUUGUUGAACCUAAAUUUUCUUGAAUUAGAAAGCUAUACUUUUGAAGACUAAUUUAGUGAUAAUUUAAUUCAUUAAAUUUUUUUGGUGUCUACAGUAUAUUUAUAAUAUGAAAAGUAAAUUAAAAUUUUAAUUUUUUUACUUGUUUAUUAUUUUAUUUAUUAUUUAAUGAUAAAUAUUUUUAUUCUUUAUUGAAAUAUAUAAAAUUUUAAUUAAUAUUUUAAUUUUUUUAAUUUCUAUAUAUAAAAUAUAUAGAUUUAUAUGGUCUAAUUGAGUCAUUAAAAUAAAUAGGGUAAAUAACUCACACAUAAGUGAUGGAUCAUUCUAACAUGAUUAAAUUAACAAGUUAGAUGAAUUGAGUAGUCAAAUACAAACAUGAUUUGUUUAUUAAAUAAGUUAUAUGAAUUGAUACGAUUAUGACAUCAACUCAAUUAAACUUAACUCAAAUAAGCUUUGUCUUUUAUUUUAAGUUGUCUAGUUGUUCACACAAAUUUUCUCAAAAUAAAGAAAUUAUAUAUAAAAUUGUAAAUUUGAUUAUUUGAGGGGACCAUUUUCAAUACUCUUUUUUAAGUAAUCUGGUGUUUAAUUUUGAAUCAAAGGGGCUUUCAUUAACAAAUAAUAGACUGUAGUUUUCAUAUAAGAAGAAAUCUCAAGCCUUUUUUUCUUGAAGGAAUCUUUAAAUUUUCUUUGAUACUUUAAAAAAUCAAUCUUCUUUGAUUUUUUAAGAAAUCUUUGAAUUUUCUUAAAGUCUUCAAAAAAAAAAAAAAAAAAAAAACUGAGUUUAAGGAAUUUUUUUAAUAACUCUCCAAAUUUCUUUGAUAUUCCAAAGUGUCCUUUAGAAGGGGACAAAUCCUCUAUUUACAGGAUUGAGAGUUUUAUUUUAAUAUUAUCUCUUAAUUUUUAAGAAAUAACUCUCUUAUUUAUGAUAAUUACUAUUUAUUUUAUUUAUCAUAAUUAGUUGCCUAUGAUAAUUAUCAUAAUUAAUUUUUCUAGAGAUAAAUAAUUAUAUAUAUUUAAUUAAUCAUGAUAACUAUAAUAUUUAUUUAAUUUUUUAUUAAAUUAUUUUACAUAACAUAUCAAUAUAUAUUAUUAGUCAAUUAUUAACACCGAAAAUUAAUGAGUUGGCAUAAAAUUUAUCUCUCUAUAAUAGUAUCAAAGCGAGCCUUAAUAAUAACAUUGCUUAUAGUCAAUUUCACAUGCCAACUUUUUACUGGGCAUUGGCGAUUUCAAUUUUGAUAGUCCGGUUAGAAAAAGUAGGUAAAGAUUAUUUGAUGUGGUAGGUCAUUUCUUUCAUAAAGACGAUGGCGGUGAAUUCAUGAGACAGGUGAUAAAGGAGAGAUUCUUUCUUUUGGCUUUGGAAUUUUAAUGAGGUCCUCGAUCCUCAUCCAAAAUACACCUCUCCAAUUAUAAAAAUCUUAUUAAAAAAAAAAAGAUUUGACAUGUGCCUUUCGAACUGCUGGUUUUCUGUUCCAAAAAUGAGAAUGGUUUCAAGUGGAUGAAGGAAGGUGAAGAACCCUUGGUUUUGUUAAGCGAAAAGCCACAUGAUUAAAUAAACAUAAGGCGGCAAAGGCUGAAAAUUUAAAAUUAUACUAAGGAACCCACCCCACAGGGCGACUACACUUUUGGUGAAGCCACGAGAAUGAAAGAUAUCGAAGGUGACACCAAGACAUUAAGCAGCACCAAGGUUUCGAUAUAUUAUAAGAUGGGAUCUUAUGAAAGACGAUCUCUAAUCUCUCUCCAAUCUCUUCUUUAACCUUUUCUUACUUAAAUCCAUUUCCAUGGUAGGGCACAUGUCCAGCUGACCCUACCCCCUCACCUACCUAUACUGCUAUACCCUUUUGUAUAAUUUGAUAUGGAUUGGAAGCCACCCCAACAUCUUUCUAAUUGCUCGUAAAUGUUGAGGUGCCUUUCCAUUUUGAGGCUGCCCUAAUGUGUGGCUGAAGUACGUAGGAAAAAAAAAUUGUGAUACAUGCACUGACGAAUCAAAUCCCAAUGUCAAAUUAUUAGACUCACCUGGUUCUUAAAUUAUUGUGAAUGCCGCUGGCCAUGGAUAAAUGGAAUUAGUGCGUGGCUUAAUGAAAAUUUAUUUUGAAAGGGAUAUUAAUUUGAGAGAAUUUUGGCUGAUACUUGGAGUUGAACGUAAGCAUAUAUGACCUCAUUUCGGGUGUGAUAUUGUGCUUAUAACGAACCUUUCGUUCUUUCCAAUUCCAGUGGGUAUUAAAUAAUUAAAGAAUUCAUGGUUCGAAGGCGAAAGGUAGAAGACCAAAAAGGGAUUACAAAGCCAUCGGCUUGACCAUCCAGAUGCAAUGGAUACAAACUUUGGACUCUAUCGAAAGUUCUUUGGGCACGUGCCCAAGUGUCCUACCCAUAUGAUAAGUUACACGUGGCUAAUUGCGGACCGGUUGCUCGUGCUAAACAGGGUACUUUUUCUACGCAUAUAAGAUGUUUCACUAGUGGGGCUUCACCAUGCAAACUCAUGGAUGAAGACCCUGAGGCCAAGAUGAAGGAACAGAAAGAAGGCGGAGGAGAGGUUCGGUAUCGAGGCGUUCGGAGGCGGCCAUGGGGGAAGUUUGCUGCGGAGAUACGUGACUCGACUAGGCAUGGAGCGCGCGUCUGGCUCGGGACUUUCAAUUCUGCGGAGGAGGCUGCAAGAGCAUAUGACCGAGCUGCUUAUGCCAUGAGGGGUUCCUUGGCGAUUCUCAACUUCCCUAAUGAGUAUCAUACACCCGGCACGGCUAGCUCUUCAGCUUCAUCCUCAAUGCCCGAAGGUGAUCAGCAGGGAAAACAAGUCAUUGAAUUGGAGUACUUGGAUGAUAAGCUGCUAGAGGAUCUUCUCGACUCUGAAGACAAAAAGAACAAGAAAACCUGAAGUUUCUGCUGCCUCGAAUCCCCUGAAAUCUAGUGCUUCAUCGAAAAAAAAUCCCCUCGCUCCUGAUUAACAACAUUUUUAUUUUAGUCAAUGAAUGUGUUCUCGGAUCAUUAUAAGUAUUUCUGCCGAAGUCCAUUGAUUUUUGGAGACUGAAAAAUGUCAGAAAAAUUGGUGCGAACAGGUUUACUCCUUUCUAAAUUAUGCAAUUGAAGUAUUUGGAUUAGUGCGCAGUGUAAACAUCAAGGAAAGCAUGAUCCACUAUUUUAAGGAGCCUAAGUGCUUUCCCCUUUACUCUUUUAGGAUGUCUUUUCAGUGAAGAAAGUUGGGAGACCACCACUUACCCUUUUGAUUGGUAUAUAACUGCCAACUAAUAACUGGACUAACAUUUGGCCCGUCUGGCCCUACUUCUUUGACUUUGUUGUUAAUUUAUAACUUUAUGUGAAGUGGGGGCUGUUUGGGAAUGUGUGAAGCAAGGAUUUGAGCCGACUUCGCCUAAUCUGAUUCUCCAUAAGUGACUUCAUUUUAUCAUAUUGGUGUUUUUUUUCUUCUUCUUUUUAAAUGGCUGGGGAGGAGGGGAUUUGGGAGGGAUGCAAUGCCAUGGUUGCAUGCUGGAUUAUCCUUCCAAAUGAAACAUCCAUUUGGUUUCUAGUAACUAAUUGCAAACAAUUAAAGAGAAUAAAAUUUUAAGAUGAUUAAACAAUAAGUACCUAUGUCCAUGAAAAGGAGAGAAGUUCACUCAUGGGUGUUCAUGAAAGACAUCACAAAGAACCAUCAAUAUGAGAAGAAUCCUGAUACAAUUAACUUUCAUGCAUAAGAAAAGACGCUCAAAAAAGAAUAAUGCUUACAAGGAAAGAAUCUCACUACGAUCAACUGAAAAAAUAUUCCAAUUUAAUUGGAAAUCCUUACAUGGGAAGAAUAUCAAUAAAAUCAACUAAAAAAAUAUUUUAAUUUUAUAUCAAAAUAUUUGUGAUUUAACCCGUAUCAUUUCAUCAUGACUUCUUAUAAAUUUUGUUCCUUUUUAUCAACACCACCCCUUGAGUUGGAGCAUAAAUAUUUAUUAAGCUAACUUGAACAAGAUCUUGAGAAAUUUUGUCGCAGGAUUUGUUUGCACUUUUUUUUUUCAAAUAAAGUCAUAAUUAACUUUAAUAUGUUUAAUCAUUUCAUGAAAUACUAGAUUUUAAGCAAUGUUGAUAGCAUACUUAUGCCUGAAAGCUUUAUCCCAAAUCACAUGAGUACAUGAAGUGAUUGCAUCAUUAAUGGUAGUAUUAUUACUUUAUAUUCAACUUCUCCACUUGAUAGGAUGCAUGAAAGCAUUGUGCUUUCUUCUGUUUCAAGUAAUAAAGAUUAUCACCAAGAAAGGUGCAAUUAAUACCUAGUAACAGAGUACCUAGUGGUAGCAUGCACCUAUCCACUGAACUUGUACUCGACUCUAUGAGUGUACGUUACAUAGUCCUUUUUUCGAAGUCUAAAUGUCCCUUGAUAAAACCUUCUAAUAUUUGAGGUUUUGGUAACAUUCAUGUAUCAAUGAACAAAUUAAUUUACUAGCUAAACUUUAAAAUUAGGCAAUGUUUUUCAAUGGGUGAUCAAGAUCUUGGAAUUUUCAAUGUUGUUUGAAUAGCUUCCACACACAAGCAUAUUUUCUCCUAUUUAGGAAUAAUCCCUUUUUUGAAGGUGUGAUCUUUAUGCUCAAAAAAUAAAGAUACUCAAAAAUUUAAUAUUGACCUUCUCGUGAAGGAAAAGCUUUAUAACUAAUUUUUUUUGUGCAUUAUAUAUAUCCUCAAUAUAGACUUUAAAAAAAAAAGAAGUAACUCCCUCUACAAAGAGUGAAGAGUCAAUUAAACUUUUUUUUUUUUAAAAAAAAGGAACCAAUUACUCGUAAAAGUAAUGAUUAUUUUUACAUACCAAACUUGAGGAGAUUACUUAAGAUCACAAAAGUUUUUAUUAAAUUGCAAGCUAGAUGCAUUUGAAACGAUCGUUGAUGUCUUAGCAACACCUUAUGUAACUCAUCAAUCUUUAUGUAAAAAUGCAUUUUUAACACCCAUAUAAAAUAAUGAUCAAUCCUAAUUUAAUAGAAACAAAUGGUAAUACAUGAAUAUCAUUCAUAUUAAUGAGAAAAGUAAAUAUUGAUUUAUAAUCAACUUCUUAAGUUUGUGUCAAUGCCUUAAUCAUUAGUUUAACUUUGUCAUUCAAUGAUACCAUCAUUACGACAUUUAAUUAACUUAGAUUUGCGUAAAUCCCUUAAUCACUAGUCUAGCUUUAUGUCAUUCAAUGGUACCAUCAUUAUGGUAUUUAAUUGAUCUUAUACCCCCAAUUUGUAUACCCCAUGUUUUUCUUAAUUUACCAUACAUCACUUAACAAUGUUCCAUGCAUGGAUUUUGUUAAGUGCCUUAAGUUCCUUUUGCAUAGCCUUUCUCCAAAUUGGAUGAGGAUUGGCUUCAUUAAUGUCAUUAGACUCAUGAUAUAUGGAACUCAAACAAUUGUUAAGUGAUUUUGUAUAUAUAUAAAAAAAAAAUUGUAAUUAAUGUGGUAGGCAUAAAAAUCUCACAAAUGAGGAUUGAUUAAUUGUUAUAAUUGAGCAACAUGCUUGAGGCUUAGUCACAAUACUAGAACUUGAAGUCAGACAUUCUCUUCAAAUAAGGACGUAUAUACAUUAUAUUGGAUCUCCAUUAAACAAGUAAAGAACUAUUUAGUAGACAAUGAAACCUCAUUGAUCAAUGGUGGUAGAGAGACACAUGAUGACCAGACUAUUCCCCUGGAAAUGAGAAUAAAAAAUAUCAUUAGCCGCAAAAAUCUCAAAAAAAUUUAGAUAAUGGGAUAUAAAGAGUUUAUGAAUUUUACAAUCAUAACUCUUAUACUGGUUUAAGUGGUAGAGUAAUCAAGAACACAAAACGAGUUUGAUGAGUGGUUGAGAUAUGAACAAAGCAAAGAUUUCCAAAGACACCAAAAUCAGAAAUCUCAAUUUUUGGGCUAAGGAUUUCAAGAAGAAAUUUAAAAUUAACUACAUGACUAGAAAAUUUGUUCAUCAAGGAAAUAGAAGUAACGAUAUCAUAACAUCAUAAUUAAUCAAUAUUUUUAAUAACAUGCAUUUGGAACAUGAUAUACCGGCUUUCUAAUAAUCAAUGAUUUUUGGUUCAACCACACCAUUUUGUUUUGGGAUGCCAAUACAACAAGUUUAACGAANNNNNNNNNNNNNNNNNNNNNNNNNNNNNNNNNNNNNNNNNNNNNNNNNNNNNNNNNNNNNNNNNNNNNNNNNNNNNNNNNNNNNNNNNNNNNNNNNNNNAUGUAAGUGCCAAAUUAGGUAGUGUCGACAAUGAAAUGGAAAUUUUGGAAUAUAGAAACAACCUCAUUUUUAUGUUCUAAUAAGUAAACCUAUGUAGCAUAAGAAUAGUCAUUAAAAAAAAAGGUAACAAAAUGUUGAUUUCCAUCCUAUGGAUCAAUUAGGACACAACCCCAAGGUAAACUAAUUUGAAAGUUGCAACAAAAAUGGAAAGAGAUGAAAAAAUAAUAGAGGAAUUUAAGGUUGUUUCAAAAUUUCAAGACAUGCUAAGAAACACAUGAGAUUAUAGAUGAUUAGGUAACAACCUUGGUUAAGUAUAUUCAACAUAUAUAUCCCACGAGGAUAAAUAUCUUCACUAAACUUUUCCUAUUAUUCAAUCCCCUAAUACCAUACAAGUGAAAAAUUAAUGUCACGGUCAAAAAUUUUAAUAAGCUUCCAAAGAGAUAAUAAUUUUGGGGAAAAAAACAACCUAAGAAACCUAUGAAUUGAGAUAAUUUAGGAAAAAACUAAAUGUUCGUUAGCUCUAGAAGGGAAUUGAAGCUCAUCAUCAAUAAAGAUUGUUGCUAUCUCGAAUAAUAUCAAGUAAACCAUUAAGAUCGCUAUUAAUGGUAUGAUUAGCAGCACCAAUUAUCGACAAAAAAAUUAUUAAAAAUAUAAGAAAUGAGAGCUUUAAGAUUAUCUAAUUGAUUUGUAAACCUAGGUAAGUGAAUCAGUAUUACGUUUUGUUAAGGAAGCUUAGAUCCAAUUGGUAUCAUUCACCAAGUUAUUGGAUUAAAUUACACUAUCAAACUUUGGCUUUAAAUGAGAAUGAAGAAUCUAACCACAAUCCUUAUUGGGAUUAGAUAUGUUAUUGCAAUAAUGUUUACAAUCGGAUGAGUGCUAAUUUCUAUUGAAAUCAUGAAGCAAUCUCUGAUCAUUGGUCUUCUUUGUAGAAACAUGAGCAUUGAAUUUAAAAUUAAUAAUUGUUACUUGGGAUUCAACCUUCAUAAUCAUUGCCUGGGUUUCCUAAUCACUUUCAAGAAUUACUUAUAUAGUGAAGGCACUCGAAACUAAUCAAAUUUGUCCUCUUAUAAAGUUGUCAUAUUCAAGCUUCAGAAUAGCCAAUAAUUGAAAAACUUAUCAUACUCCGCAAUUUGUUGAAGAAUAUUUGGGUCUAUUGAAGGGGACAAUAUAGGGAAUAUUUGUCCCAUAUGCUCAAAAUGUUCAAUUAACAAAGUGUUCUGUAUGUUUAGGGAUUUGUUAGCUUUAAUUACACAAAACAUUAGCAGUUUUAGAGAAAAUUAAUUUUUUUUUGCAAUCUUAGGUUCCAUGAAAUUAAAAAGCCAAUAACAAGUCAAUAUGGCUUGAGACCCAGUCAUCAUAUUCAAAGUCAUCCAACUUAGAAGCAUUCAUUUUGCCACUAACAUGUGCUAAUUUCCAUUUUCUAUCUUUCAAGAGAAAAAGACUGCUCUUAACCAUGGCAAAUAAUUGAACCCAUUAAGAAGAUUGAGGAAAGUAUCAUAUGAGGGUUGUCAUUUUCCUCCAUGACAAAGAAAAAGCAACAGAGAAAAACUCAUAAUAUUAGAAAGAGAAUGAAAGAAAUUGAGUCAUAGAUACACACAGAAGAAUCCAAAAAUAAAGCAAUAAUACAACCACAAAUAUGAGAAGAAGCUCAAUUACAAAGAAAGGAACUCAAUACAAUCAACUAAAAAGCGUUCCGAAGUUCAUACGAAAAUAUUCAUAAUGUGAAGAUCAUUUCAUGAUUCCUACAAUUUCUUCCUUCUACCAGUCCACUCCAUACAAGGUUUGAUCAACAACUUCUUCAUUGAUUUUCUGGUCUCUCUCCGGUGUAUCAUAGAGCAUUUUUGACAUGUUUCUGCAAGAUACACUUGUUAACUUUAAGCGACAUAAGUGCAAAAAAAUAAGAUCAUGUUGUAUUGCCUGUGCUUCCACUCUGCCUUGUUUAGUACUAUUAUGGAGCAGUACUUCCAUAUAGAACCAGUGAUCUCCAGUUCAUUAUGUUGCCUUCUUUAAACUAACUUUAAUUAUCUAUACAUAUAAAACAAAGUGGUCCCAUCAAGGGGCUAAAUCAAGAAUCAAGUGGGGCGAACAGGAAACAGUGGCAUCAAUUUUUAAGUCCAUAAGCUUUAAUAAAAGGAAUAAAACCAAGGAUAUGAAUAUGUUAUUUUUUCAUUUGUUCAUGCACUGGAAGAUCUUUCCUCUUCAAGCAUUGAACCAGCAUCCUUCUGUGCAAGUUGCUGUCGGAACCUUCUAUAAUUGUCAGAAGUCUGUUUCUGAAAUAUACAGAUAAAACUUUUAGCAAGUCUUGACAUUGCUCAUCACUAGGACAUUGUACUAGGAUACCAAUUCAUCUAAUUAGGGUUAAGUUGGCAUCUCGUACACUAUUUUUUAUUUUUCCUUCAUCUUUUGUUCCCAUUUGCAGUGGAAGUGGCACUUAGAAUAUCUGAUCAUGAAGAAUUAGCUUUCGGUGAGAUGAUACUAGGUCAAUUGCCAUUAUCUUUUUGAGUUACUGUGCGAGCAAUCUUGAAAAUAUUUUGGGAUAAAUAGAAUUUGUGCUUAUCAUAAACAUGCUAAACAUCCAAAUCAAGUGCUUUUACUAUUGAUAUCAAAUCAGUAAUUGAUUUUAACCUUUAUGCUUAUCUUUCAGAUUCUCAAUUAUGUAUCUUGAAUAAUGAUAUUAAGCAGAAAUCAUGAAUUGAAUUGCUUUAAUUAACUGUGCCUUAUCAAGCUUGUCAGCAGUGCUAUUGCUACCGCGAAUCAAAUUCGCUGUGCUUCCCGCCUUCUCCAAAUAAGCCACAAGCCCAAUUAUAUCCGCCCUCCUCCCAUCUCCAAGGGAUCAAAAAAUAAAAUGACUUCAAUCAAUUUUCAAGUUUUCCAUCUUGAUCAGUAGACCACCCGGCAUGAAUGUUACCCUCAGUUUAGGAAUAGGAAUUCCUUUUACUAAUCAUUUGGCACUAAAAACUAUGACCCCUAGCAAUUCAUUCCCUCCAUUAGAUAUCUGGGGGCAUCUUGGCUCAGCCAAAAAUGAUAAGUCAUUGCAUUUCACAUUGCAUUCAUUUGUAUUAAUGAGCUAAUUUUUUUUCACAGAAUGUGAUGUGAAUCGAAUUACUUCCAACCAUGUGUCUCUAUAAGGGUUUAACAAAUGUAAUUUGCAUUGUCUGUACACUUUUUUUUCGGUUUCUUUUCUUUUUUAUGCAUGAUUCAUUAGUCCACGGAUCUUCUAUGCAAAGUGUGCAGGCCAAACACCUCCUUCAAUGCAUUAUUCUAGAAGUUAAGACUCAGUUUACUCCUUAAUUGAUCUGUUCCAUUUACUUCAAAUCAUUUGAUUACAUUAAAUGAAUCUUGAAAUUCAAAAAUGCAUCAAAGUUAAAAGACCUUCCAAUGCAUUAAGAAAUCAUCUGAUACAAAUAUAUGUGAACCUGCAACAACAAUAAUGUCAAAAUGGAAAACUUAGGUAGAAAAUAUUAGAACGGAAACUUACGACGAACUCAAUUUUUGGCGCCUUUCUUCUUCUCAUCUUCUGAUCCAAGAAGCUCUUCCAACACCGUGUCAUCCAAACACUCGAACUCAAUGACUUGCUUUUCUUGCCCAGAAGAGGAACCUCCCAUCUCUAAACUCCUACAAGGCCCAGAAGAUGACGAGGAAGACGAUGAGGAUGGUGAUGGUGGGGGGCGAUGGGAGCCCAUGAUUUCAGAAUAGUACUCAUUAGGAAAGUUAAGAAUGGCAAGAUGACCCCUUAAGUUAAAGGCCGCUCGAUCAUAGGCGCGAGCUGCAUCCUCCGCCCUGUCAAAUGUGCCUAGCCAUAGACGAGCACCUUGCCUAGACGGAUCCCUAAUCUCGGCUGCAAACUUCCCCCAUGGCCUCCUCCUCACCCCUCGGUAUCGAACUUCUUCCUUUUCCUUCCCUUCCUGCUCCUGCUUCUCAUUCCCUUUCGAAUGAUCUUCCAUGCUAAACGUGUCGAUUUGCUAGGCGCAAUUUUUUUGGUUUCAAAUGUGCUGGUUUACGAGAGGCAUGGAUGCUUAUGUAUAUAUAUGGUUGCCACAGUCAGGUCUGACGUCACCGCUCAAUGUAUGUUCCACAGCGUGGGUUGACGAGCUUUCUGAGGGGGUUUCCUCGAAUUCAAAGCAAGUAUAAAAAUUCGAUUCUCCGACCUUUCCAAUGAGGAUCGAACAGGCCUUUUAUUAGAACCGUAUGAUAACUCCACACUGUUUUCAAAUAGUCAAUGUGAUCUAGAUUCUUCGUUAAUUUUUUCCACCUGACUGAUUGUUUACAAUUUUAUUUUUCACCGUCCCAAAUUUAAACCAUUUACGCGAUUCCCUGGAUUGCAUUUUUCUUUAAUGUUGACUUUACGAGGCAAUAGGACCCCCCAGCAACCCCACUAGGGCGACUUCAUGGGAACCAGAUUACUUUUGGAUCCAGAUAUGGUCCAGAAGAAAUAAGACAAAUCAAUUAAUGUCCACUAAAGUUUUGAUGGAACCCUUAGUCCGUGUUUCCUGUGGAUGUAUGUAUUGUAUGCACCUCAAUUUUCACCAAUCCCUGCUACGAGUCCCUUUAAUUUUGACGUUAUAAAUGUUUUUCCUGACAUUAGCAGAGUGUUUUUCUGCCGUCUUUGAGGACCUUCCACGGCCCAUAAACUAAUAAGGAUCGUCCAGUGAAUUUAGUCUUCCCCAGUUAAUUAUCCUGCGAGGGAAACUUGGGCAGUAAGUUGCCUACAUGAGUGGCUCCCGCCUACAUGAGUCAAGGGACCAUACGUCAGGACGACAACCAGUGUGGUCACACCAAAGUGGGUUGCCUGGACUCCAGGGUGGUCGCUUCAAAGUUGUCAAAUGAAGGCUAGCUUGGCAAGUUUUGGAAAACAAUUAUUGAAAAACAUUUUUCAUGAAUAACAGUUUCUAUGAACAGAUUUUAAGAAAGUUUAUUUUGUGAUUUUUAGGAAUAUUUUUAAUUUAAAUUUUUAUAUUUUUAAUUUUUUAUUAAUUUAUUGAUUAUUUAAUAUUAGCUUAAUUAAUGGAUUUUUCUUGGUCCCAAAUUAUUAAUUUAUCAAGAUUUAAUCGCAUCCAUAAUUAGUCUAAUUUCUUUUGGAGUGAGUGUGACAAAGUGCAAAUUUCUAGAGUUUUAUUAAUGUUAUUCAAUGUCAUAAUUUAACUAAUUAUAUUAAUUAUUUAUUAAUCAAAAUAAAUCAUUCACUUGAAAUAUGAUAAUUUAAAUUAAAAGUUUCAAUUAUUUAUUAAUUAGCAAAGUAUGAACUUUUCUUCUUGUUUUAUUAUUGUUAUUCCAUGUAUAUAAUUUAAUUAACUGUUUCCAAUAUUAAUCAAUAAAAAUAGAAUAUAAGCAUGAGAAGAAUUAGUAAAAUUCAUUGAUUUGGAAUUAGAUAGCUAGAGGAAGAACUUCAUCAUCUUCCCAUUACUUAAAUUUGUAUAAAUUCUAAAUAUUUAAACCCCCCCCCCCCCCCCCCCCCCCAAAAAAAAAAAAAAUGGUAAAGAAAGACUCCCCAAGCUUUCUUGGUUGGUGUUACCCUAAAAUUUGUACAAUAAGAUGAACCAUUUGGCUUAAAGCUUGGUGCGAAACCCCUUAUCAAUUGAAAAUAUCAAUGAAGUUGUUGAAUGGUUUUAGAGGACUAUUCUUAUGCAGAGUGGCAUAAGAAGCGAGGAGAUGAAGAGCGGAGAGACGUUAACAUCGGAUGCUGCUACGAAGGUGGGAAUACGGUUAAUUAAUUAGAUUUUGUGAUGGCUUUGAGUUUGAAGGAGUUAGUUUAAUGGGUAUUAUUAGUGAACUGAUAAUUGGAUUUGAUGUAAAGAAGGUUGGUCCAUUGGAUUAGCAAUUGGUUUGGCCUUUUGGGGGCCCCAUUUCCAAAUGCAUUGCCUUUUACAAGCAUUCAACAUCGCUGGACGUAACCAGGCUUGGUUCACCUAAAAGUAUCGCAUGGAUUGAAUUGACUAAGUUUUCAUUGUAGACUAGCCUUGAUUUUCCCUUGACCUGCCCACCAAAUCCUGAUGCCCACGCGAGGGAAUACCUCAAUUUUCUAAUAAUUUAUGCAGUUUCUCUUCAAAGCUCGUGUGAUCACUUGGGUCGGUAAAAUAAUGCAUUCCUCUACUUUUUCUCCCUUCCUAGAUGCAUGUUAUACCAUUAAUUCAAAUGUGAACAUGGGCUUGGCUUUGAAACUUGGUUCAAGGCCCAACAUGUUGACCCACAAUUGAGGUGUAAUUGAAUUUGUACACUUUUCGACUUUGAUACCAUUUGUCAUUACCAUUGACAUUGGGUCAUUGUUGAUUUUGAGUCCACAACUUUUAAGGUUGUUAUUACAAUUUUAAAUUGCGCCCACCCAAUUUAUAUGCAUUAUCCCUUAUAAAUACCGAUAACCUCUCUUUCUUCGAUAAUAUAAAAUGUCACAUAUAUUAUAUAUCUCAAUGUUUUCUUUUACUUUUUUUUUUUUUAUCGAUCGACAUUCUCUCUCAGAUGAUAUGAGAUGUCACAUAUAUUAUAUGUUUCAAUGUUUCUUUUACUUUUUCUCUUUUUCCUCAUGAUUGACAUUGUCUUUCUCAAAUGAUAUGAGUUGUCACAUAUAUUUUAUGUCUCAAUGUUUUCUUUAACUUUUUUUCUCUCUUCUUUAAUGAUCGACGUUCCUUUUCUCAGAUGAUAUGAAAUGUCAUAUAUAUUAUAUGGCUUAAUGUUUUCUUUUACUUAUUCUUUCUUUAUUAAUAAUCGACAUUUUAAGCAAUAUGUGAAUAUAAAGCAUUAAAAUUAUCUCCAUCGUUUUUGGAUGUGGUAUAAAUACACAAUUCUUAUUUUUGUUUUAAAUAUUUCUAUUGCUAUCUAUUGAAAUUUUAUGCAUGAAGCUACCAAGUUAAUUAUACAUAUAUCUUAAGAUUUUUUUUUUUUUUUUUUAUAGGAUAUAUUGUCCAUGAAUAUUUUCUGCAAUGGUAUCUUGUUUGAUUACUAUAAGAAAUAAUAUAUAUAUAUAUAUAUAUAUAUAUAUAUAUAUAUAUAUAUAUAUAUAUAUAUAUUAUAUUUCAAUGUUUCAUAUUUGCUUAAAAUAAAAAUUAUAUUUUAUCACAAUAUUUGGUAUUAAAAAAAAUGAAAUCUCUCUCAUUUAUUAUUACAAAAAAAUUAUAAUUUAUAAUUUUCUAAAUAAGUUUUAUUUAUUUGCUAACUAUAUUCAUGAUUAAAAGAUUUAAAAUUUAUAAAUAAAAAAUAUUAUGUCAUGUCAUUAAAUAAAUAAAAAUAUAUGUAUAUAUUAAAAUUAUGUUUUAUUGUAGCUUUUAAUAUUUUUUUUUUUAUUCUUUUCUUUUUUGAACUACAAUUUUAAUUUUUUUUAAUCAAAAUUUUUUAAUUUACAAAACGAGUAACAUAAAACUUGCCUUUGAACUUUAUUGGAAUGUUAUAUACUACCAUUUGGCUUUCAAGACAUUAGAAAAGGCAUAAGUGUCCCUUUUAUUUUUCCGAAAGGCAUAUUAGACUAUAGUAGGAAGUGUUGUAUAGAGGCAACUAAAAGUUGCCUUUAACUUUAUGAAGUCAUAUACUCCUCUUUGGCUUUGAUGACAUCAACUAGCAAAUUGGAUUUUGUUUCCUUUGCAACAUUUUUCCAUCCAUUAGCCAGUUUUUUUAUACUGUUUGGUGCUUGCCAACAUGGCACACACUAUGGUUCUUAAAAAGUAUUUUUUUUUUUAAGAUACUACGAAAUAAAAUACACGAUUGAAAGAUGAGUCACAAUAAUUUUCAAAACUAAAUUUUUUAAUAUUGUUAAGAAAAUUUGACCACCAAAUGAUUGAUUUUAAAUUACAAAUACUUUUGUUAGCUAAGAAAUUUGUUGUUCUAUUUGUUUCCCUAUAAAUAUGACAACAAUCAUAAAUAUUUUCAUUUUAAGAUAAUUUUCAAAUAUCUUCCAUUAAUAAUAUAAUAGAAUUAGGAAUUUUUUUUUUAGUUAUAACAAUCUAUAAUUAUUUAAGAGUCUUCCUCAAUCUCUAGGUUUAAGAACUUAUUGUUCUUAACAACUAACAUGUCAUCUCUUAAAAUAAUACAUUCUGCAAUAAUUAUUGAAAUAUGAUAUAAUAUAUAUAUCUACUUACAACCAUUUUUGUAGUACCAUUAGAAUUUUUAAUUACCCAUUCUAAAGUAUUUUUAUUCUCUAUUCUUAAACCAUCAAAAUUUAAUUUAAAUCUUUCAUUAAUUGGAUAAAUCCAAUGAAUCUAACAAGUUAAAGGAUUAUGAAUCCGACAAAACAGUUGAUAAUAAAUUAAUAAUGCCAUUAAUAUGAUUUUAAUGUGAAACACAAUUAUCACAUUUAAUACAGUUAGUCCUUGUAUGAUUAAUGUUUUGGAAGCUAAAAUCAAUCUUUUGACUAUAAUAAGAGUUUCUACUAUUUCUAUUUUUGGAUGAUUUUAUAUUUUUCUUAUUGUUUUAGUUUAAUACAAAAAAUAAAAAUAAAAUUACAUUAGUAGAAUUUUUUUAACUUACUCAAAAACCUAUUUUAGUUGAAUGAUUUUUUUAAAAAAAAUAUAAAUAUUUUGUUAAAAGGGAUAAAAUAACCUUACCUUGUGAAAAAGACCUCUUCACCCAAGAUUACUUGUUCAUAAUCCUUUUAAGACGAAAAUGCCCCCUUCCUAAAAAAUAUUUCAUCUUAAACUUAUUUUUCUUUUUAUUGCCCUUUGUUCCAUCCUUCCGGCUUGGGAGAGAAAUUCAUUCUUCUUUUGCGAAGAAAAAUUCCUAUUGCGAUUUUUCAUUUCAAGUGGAAAAAAAAAUUCUUAUUUCAUUUUAAAGAAAUUGUACAUUUUCAAUCUUUCUCUUUGUUCCUAGUUGAGGGUUUUUUUUGUAAUUUUAUCUUAACACUACAAAUUUAAAGGUGAGAUUAAAUCUUAAUGGUUAUUAGUUAAAUCACAUAUCUAACUUUGUUUUUGUCAGGACCUAUAAUAUGAUUGGAACCACCAUCCAAACUUCAUUAGGUGGGAUACUCCCCACCCUCCCCCUCCCCCCGCGAAAUCCUUGGAUUUUAGUUUUGACUUGGAUUUCAAUUGCCCGUAUCAAUUUUUCUUUAUUUAUUAAUUUAUUAAUUUUCAACUUUAACAAAAGCCUUGAAUCAUAUUUAAAUUCAAAUAACUUAAUCCUAAUUAAGUUCUUUUUAAAUAAAAAUUAAUCAUUGAAAAGUUCAUGUGACUAUUAUAAUUGAGAAUUUAUCCCAAGUUGGGUUUUUUGCAAAUAAAAUUUUAUUAUAGGACAUCAUGAUGCAACAUAACAUAAGGUUGUUACUUAAGUUUGUUUUGACCUUGUAAUAUGUUAAAAUGAAAAUGAAGCCAUUGUAACAGGAGAGAAUGAUGAAGCUGUGGAGAGAGCUUAACAAAGCUUGGGUUGGAGAGACUUCACAGGAAGAGAGAGAGAGAAAUAAAGGGUAAAAUUAUCAAAAGAGAAAAGAAAAAAAAAAAAAAAAAAGAAGGUUAUGUCUUCAAAUAAUCAAUAAGAGAUGUCAUUUUUCUAAUUUUCAAAGUUCUUUUGGUCCUUCUCUACAAAUAUCCCUAUAAAAAUAUUAUAAUAUCAAGUUAAUUUGUCAAUACCAAAAUUUAUAUUUUAUAUUAGGGCGACUAAAUAACAUAUAGAAAGAAUUUUAAAUGAGUAAAUCAAAUCAAUUUUGAAACCAAAACUUAAUAAUUACCAAACUUGUAAUCUUAGUCAUUAAAAGUGUACGAUGAAAUCUAAAUUAUUAAGCAAUGAAACAAAAAAUUAAGAUUAAAAUACAAAACGUUAAAAUCAAGAUACAAACUAUUAAAAUGUAAGUGGGAUAUGAGAUGAUAUUAUAAAAAAUAGUGUGAUCCAACAAAAAGUCUAGUACAUCAUUAUCUUCACUUCCAACCAUGUUUAAAAGGUCACAAGUUCUAGCGGUUUCCAAGGACAAUGUUAAAAAUAAUAAAAAUAAAUCCAAUUAAAUAUUAAUUAAUUUAUUUGAAUUUGAGUCCGACAAAAUAGUUGGUAAUAAGUUAAUAAUGCCAUUAAUAUGAUUUUAAUGUGAAACACAAUUAUCACAUUUAAUACCCGUUAGUCCUUGUAUGAUUAACUUUUUAGAAAUUAAUAUCAAUCUUUUGAUUAUAAUAAGAGUUUCUACUAUUUAUAUUUUUGGAUGAUUUUAUAUUUUUCUUAUUGUUUUAGUUUAAUACAAAAAAAUAAAAAUAAAAUUACAUUAGUAGAAUUUUUUUUAACUUAUUCAAAAAACCUAUUGUAAGGUGAAUGGUUUUUUUAUUUUUUUUUUAAAUAUAAAUAUUUUCUUAAAAGGGAUAAAAUAACCUUACCUUGUGAAAAAAGGCCUCUUCACCCAAAUUUACUUGUGCAUAAUCCUUUUCAGACGAAAAUGCCCCCUUCCUAAAAAAUAUUUCAUCUUAAACUUAUUUUUCAUUUUUAUAACCCUUUGUUCCAUCCUUAUGAUUUGGGAGAGGAAGUCAUUCUUCUCUUGUGAAGAAAAAAUUCCUACUGCCAUUUUUCAUUUCAAGUGAAGAAAAAUAUUUAUAUUUCAUUUUAAACAAAUUGUACAUUUUCAAUCUCUCUUUGUUCCUAGUUGAGGUUUUUUUUUUUUUUUUUUUUUUUUGUAAUUUUAUCUUAAUUGUACAAAUUCGAAGAUGAGAUUAAAUCUAUAAUGGUUAUUGGUUAAAUCACUUAUCUAACUUUGUUCUUGACAGAUCGUAUAAUAUGAUUGGAACCACCAUCCUAACUUUAUUAGGUGGGAUCCCUUUUUUUUUUUCCCCAAACCCUUGGAUUUUAGUUUUGACUUAUAUUUCAAUUGUCUGUAUCACUUUUUCUUUAUUUAUUAAUUUUCAACAAGUUCUUUAACAAAAGCCUUGAAUCAUAUUUAAAUUCAAAUAACUUAAUCCCCAUUAAGUUCUUUUUAAAUGAAACUUAAUCAUGUGAAAGUUCAUGUGACUAUUAUAAUUGAGAAUUUAUUCUUAGUUGGGUUUUUUGUAAAUAAAAUUUAGUUAUAGGACUGUGAUGAUCCGUUCUCAACCGUAUAAAUAUUGUUCGUUUUGAAUUCAAAAUAACUUUUACGGCUUUAAAACAUGUUUACAAGAUUAAGAGGAGUCCAUAUUUAUAUAGCUUCACGAACUUUCCCCCCUAUUCGAUGUGGGAUGUCACAAGGACAUCAUGAUGCAACGUAUAACAUAAGAUUGUUUCUUAAGUUUGUCUAACCUUGUAAUGUGUUAAAAUGAAGAUGAAGCCAUUAUAACAGAAGAGAAUGAUGAAGUUGUAGAGAGAGCUUAACAAAGCUUGGGUUGGAGAGACUUCAUAGGAAGAGAGAGAGAGAGAGAGAGAGAAAUAAAGGGUAAAAUUAUCAAAAAAGAAAAAAGAAAAAAAAGAGGGUGAUGUCUCCAAAUAAUCAAUAAGAGAUGUCAUUUUUCUAAUUUCAAAGUUCUUCUGGCCCUUCUCUACAAAUAUCCCUAUAAAAACAUUAUAAUAUCAAGUUAAUUUGUUGAUACCAAAAUUUAUAUAUUAUAUUAGGAUGACUAAAUAACAUAUAGAAAGAAUUUUAAAUGAGUAAAUCAAAUCAAUUUUGAAAUCAAAACUUAAUACCUACCAAACUUGUAAUCUUAGUCAUUUAAAGUGUUCCAUGAAAUCUAAAUUAUUAAGCAGUGAAACAAAAAAUAUAAGAUUAAAAUACAAAACGUUGAAAUCAAGAUUCAAACUAUUAAAACGUAAGUGGAGACGUAAGAUGAUGUCAUAAAAAAUAGUGGGAUCCAACAAAAAGUCUAUUAAUCAUUAUCUUCACUUCCAAUCAUGUUUAAAAGGUCACAAGUUCUAGCGGCUUUCAAGGACGAUGUUAAAAAUAAUAAAAAUAAAUCCAAUUAAAUAUUAAUUAAUUUAUUUGAACAAUAGAUAGGACCAAAAUAAUAUUCUAAAAGGAAUCAUAGGGAAGUCCUUGGACAACCUACGACAUUGAACAAAGGUACAGUGAGACAAUGCACUUAGCCCUUCCUUGUCAUUGCGAUGAAUAUAAAAAGACACCCUGAUUGAGGGUGCCCCACUAAGCCAAGAGUGAUUCUUUUGUAUUGUAUAACGUGAAUAUUUUUGAACUUUGAAUGACCCUUCCUAUAGUCAUCAUUGUCAAAACUAGAAAAUCAGAAAGAUGCGAUGUACGAAGGCACCAUUGAAUAAGAGGCUUAAUUCUCUUUGGCAAUUAGGAUAAAGUUUCAAAAUAGAAAAAUUAAACAAAUGUACAGUGUACGGACACUUGGGCAUUGCCUAUUUGUUUUGUUCUUCUAGAGUUGUAUAUGGUAAAGGUCAUAUUGGGUUGGUUCUAUUUGGUUAUUGAAGUCGGCUAGAAUAUUAGAUUUGGUUUCAAUCUAAUCCCAUAUGAUAUUAGAAUACCAGCCCAUACAGAAUUUUUGACCAAAUAUAAUAUUUCUUUUAAAUAUAAAUAUAGUAAUUAAUUUUAGUCUAAGAUUAAUUAUGUAGUUUCCUAAAGAGACCACUUCCUAAACGGUAGCUAUGUGGAAGUUGGGCCAGGUCCUGCCGAGAAGGUUUCCACGAGCUGAGCCCAAAACUGAGUAGCUGUGAUGGGAUCAUUCUAGCAUUCAGCCUGAAACUUGUAACAUAACGGAUCGAGAGGCCUGAACUCCAAGACCAUGGUUCGUCAGCCCAUUAACUUCAACAGCACGCAUUUUAGAGGACUGGGCUUGCAAGGGGUGAGGUUUCCGGGCCGCGACCCCAAAUAUGAACAGCCUCAGAAGUGAUAUUGCUUACUGGCACGUGAAGAGCGCAAGCGUAACUAGAAGAUUUGUAAUGCCGCUUUAAUUGUUUGAUUAUAGAAUCCCACGCAUUACGCAUGGAAAGUGUAAAAGAUAAAAGAUGUAGAAUUUUUUCUUAGAGAAAAGUUCGUUUGGAUAUAGUUAUUGUUUUUUUUUUAAAUAAUAAUUGUUUUUUUUAUAAAUUAUAGAUAAUCUUAGAAAUUUAUCUUUAAAAAAAUAGUUUUUAAAAAUAUUUAAGGAGAAUAAAAGUGAUAAAAAAAAACUUUACAAUUUCAAAUUUUUAAAAAAUGAAAAUUAUUUUUAAGAAUAUAAGUUAAUCUCCUGCAUUUAAAUCUUAGGUGGUUUUUGUUUUUUUUACUUUUCGCUGAAAACAAUUUGUUUUCAAAAUUUAGGUCAUUUGUUUUUUCUAUUUUUUCAUGAUUUAUUAUAAAUUUUUUACUAAAUAAAAAAAAUCAAAAUAUGUAACUUUUUCUAAAUAAAAAAAAUAACGUAUUGAUUUUUCUUUACUUUUUAAUACUUAAUAGAUAUAAAAUACUACAAAAACAAAAAAUCUAAUAUUUAACACUAUUAAGCAUUAAAGUUCUAUUUAGAAUUAAGUAAAAAAACAAACACCACCUUAUAUUUUAUAUAAAAGUUACUUAUAUUUUGGUUUUUGGAAAUAAAAAAUAUAAAGCAUAUCCAAACAUGAGCUUAGCUAUUUUAAAUCAUAUCAAAAUAAUAAUCCCAAUAAGGUAAAUGGACUUUUAUACGGAGAAUAAUCUUUAAGGUUUUCAUUUUUAUUGGAUUUUUUUUUUGUGGUGUUUUUUCAAUCCAUCUUCUCAAUUAAUUCCUUAAAAUUAUUUUACUGUUUUUUUUUUUUUCAGUUUCUAAAUAUUUGAUUUUUCCAAAAUGCUUAAAUGGAAGACACUAAUUUUUCAAGAUAUUUGGUAUUACAAUUUUCCCUGUUCUCCCUAUUAUCUAUCAGAUUCAUGGCCCUUUUGUUUUUUCAUUGGUUUUCAAUUUAAUUUUCCAAAUAUUACAUUGUUGUGUUUUGAAUUUGUGAAACCAAUUUUAUAUAUAUAUAUAGUAUGUAAGUCUACUUUGGGUAACAUGUACAGAGAGGUUUUCAUGUGUUUGAAACCUUUUACCUCAAAAAUUAAUUAUUUUUAAUUUUAUAAUAAAUCUUUUUUUAUUUUUUAUUUUAUUUAGGAAAGCCUAUAUUUAAACUACAUGUUUGCAACGCAACACCAUACAUACUCCUAGUGGAACUUACCUUAGUGCUUGAGGGGGAUGCAGAUCUUCUUCUAAACCUAACUAAUAAGCAUAAAAUUGUUCACUAAUUAGCAUAUCUAGUAAAUCAUACAAAUUGGCAAUAUUUCAUGUUUUUCAUGUUUUGUCAAUAAAAGGCGUCUUGACCAUUUUGUGAGUUUUGUAAUAAAUAAAAAAAAAAAAAAAAAAAGGGCAAAAGGUGACUAAAAUGAGGCACUUUGGAAAGGUUAAUAACCUAAAAGGAAGAUGAAUUAAUACCCCCUUAUUCCUCUUCAAAAACCAUUGAGAAAAUGCAAGAAAUGCUCUUAGUUGUAUGCUAGGCUAACAGCCUAGCAACCAUAAUACCCUUCUUUGCAAUUGUAAGCAUUUUUUUUUUUUUUUUGAAGGCCAAACAACGUUGCAAACUUCCCAAAUCCCUUCUUUAUUUUUUAUUUUUUUAUUUUUGUUUUUAGAAGGAGAAUGAAUUUGAUGACAAACUCCUUGUCAAUCUUAUCCAAACCACGAUCGAACAGAACUCCUUGUCAAUCUUAUCCAAACCGUGUUCCACCUCAAAAACAUGUGUAGGACUUAAGGCAGCAACUGGCAAGCAUGACUGAUAGGGCCAAGUGCCCUUGUCUCUACAAUCCAUUAAGUUAACCAAGGGCAGUGAACCAUCAUUCUUUUCAAAAGCUUCAUUCCGUGUUGAAAAUGUGAGACUGAAGCAUGGUGCCCCCAAAAAUAACGAUCUAUUUACUAGCAGCAUGCCUGGACCCAUUAAAAAUACUCUACUUUAGGAAUAGAAAAAAUUACAUCUUUAUCCAAUAAUUUUAUAACAAUUCAGACGUUUCAGUCUAUAAAUAAUUGUACAUAGUUGCCAACGUUUAGCUAGUUUCAAAUGAAUAGCCUAGGUUCAUGCACCAGUUUGGCUGGUGGAGGAAAGGGAUUCGAGACAUUGAACCCUCUUUUUAGUGUGCCAAAUAUUCCACAAAAAUCACUACCUUCUCUUUGUGUUUGUUCACUUUUAGUUUAUAUUUAAUAAAUCUAUGUUUUCGAGUAGAGGUUGGGUUCAGGUGCGACCCACGUCACCUCUCGGACGGUCUUGAAAAAGGAGACCGGACCACGUAAUUUCAAAUGUAGUGACCAUCUCACUUUUACCUCCAUCCUUGAAGAUGGUUUCCCAAAUCAAUAUUAAUCUUUUGUUUACGACAAUAUCGAUCACUUUAUGUCUAUAUCGUUGUUAAUUUACCUUUUUUUUUUAGCCACAUUAUUUGAAAAUUGAUGCAAACUUUACCAACAUCUUGGUACCAUUUUAAAAUAUUAGAGUUAUUUGAUUAAAAAAAUAAAAUAAUCUCGAUAACUUGUUUAUAAAAUAAAUAUCUUUUAACAUUUAGACUAUUCUCACGCAUGCUUUAAAAUUGUAAAGAUAUUCAUAAAGUGGAACUUUAGACUUAAUCAAUAUCGAUCACUUUAUGUCUCUAUUGUUGUUAUAUUUUUUUUUUACAACAUUAUUUGAAAAUUGAUGCAAACUUUACCAACAUCCUAAUACCAUUUUAAAAUAUUAGAGUUAUUUGAUUAAAAAAAUAAAAUAAUCCCGACAACUUGUUUAUAAAAUAAAUAUCUUUUAAUAUUUAGACUAUUUUCACCAUGCUUUAAAAUCAUAAAGAUAUUUAUAUUCAUAAAGUGGAACUUUAGACUUAAACAUGAUAAUAGUUUUUUUACAAUAUUAUAAUUAUUUUAUCGUUUUAAUUAAGCCCUUUAUCAUACAUAUAAAUGUAAAUUAAUGCUAAAUUUUUAAAGCAACGUAUAACCUUUUACAUCUUUUUUUAAGAUGGUGCGAAAAUCCUAUGAAAAAUAAUAAAAGUCGAUGCAUAAGAAGAUUGUUUUGAUAAUUCAAUAGAAAAAUUCUUUUAAAAUGAUAUUAAAAAAUACCCAUAGAGCCUUUAUUAAAAAAAUCAAUUAUUUUCAUAAUAAAAAUUAUAAUUUUUUAUUAUGUAUUAUUAUUUUUAAGUAUCUUUAUUACAAAUACUUUUUUUGAGUUUAUGAGAGGAAUCAACAGGUUGGUACAAGCUUAGGCGUCCUCGUACAUGUUCCCGCUGUGCAAGGUUUUUGUCUUGUUUCGAGCUAGUCGGAAUUUACGUGUUUGAUAACGUUUUGUCCUAUUUUUGUAACGCUUUAAAGGGCGGCCCACCGUUGGAACAGUUCAAGCCAUCCAAAUCAGCCCGGAGGGUUAUGGCGACGUGGCAUGACGCCUACCACCUUAGUUCACAUGAACCCUAUGAUCGUACUACCCUCACAUGACAUCUGUGAUUCUUCACCUCCAAACCCUCUUUAACUUGGUAAUGUAUUCAAAGCUUCAUCAAAUCAUAGCGAUUAGCGACCCUCUUCCACCCUAAUUUUAUAAUAAAAAAUAAAUCUUAGUGGACAUUAAAGUAGUAUUUUGUGGGGGGAAAGAAAAACUCUAUGGGCGUAUCCACUAAAUACGAGCCAAGUAUAAGAGUUAUCACCAUGGAAUCAAAUUAUGAAGCAUUGACAUUUUAAUUGUAUUCAGAUUUGAGGAGGGCACCGCGGCACCAGCUGGCCCAGUGUAGUCUGCUAGCCUACCCGCCAUAAUGACCAAAUUAAUAAAGUAAAAAGGAUUACAGGGAUAUUCCCAACUUUAUUCUGGGUCUGAGCUGGAACUUGGGAGUUAUCACGAUCAACGGGAAAGAUGGUGGGUAGGGGACGAGGAUUGAGGGCUCCAUAUUCACAUCAGUGAAAAACGAAAUGUAUUGAGACAAGUCUUCUAAGGAUUUUCUAGCGUAUUAUAUGGUUUAAAUGAUUAUAAAUCUGUAGUUACUGGUAAAGAGUAGAGAGUGAAGACGAAAGACGUUGAGUGAAAAGGAAGGAGGAGAGGGGAUGGGGCCAUCUUACCGUGUCGGGGAGGAUCCAUAAAAGGACUACGUUCCCUGAAUCUGUAGGCAUCAUGCCUCGCCUAACGGGUUAGUCAAAAUACAGUGAUGUGUGUGAGUUGGGGGCCUCACUCCUCAUUUCUUUCCUUCUUUUCACCCCCACCCCCACUUUUUUUUUUUUUUUUUCGAAUUUUUCUUUGUCCUUUUCUCUCACUUGCGCACGCGGGAGAAGGACCACAAACUAGACAAUUCCUCUGCUCACGUGACCCCGAGUUUUUAAAUAUUUGCCUAUUUGGAAAAUAGUCAUGAAUCAUGAUCGUUAACAAACAAUCUUCACUUUAUUUAUUUAAGAUCUAUUUUUUGGAGCUCUAGUUUAGUUUAUUAUUAUUAUUAUUAUUAUUAUUAUUAUUAUUAUUAUUAUUUAGUAACUCCUCUUAUAUUAAUGAAAAAGAGAGGAGGAAUCCAAACUUGUUUAUUCUUCCUCUUUUAAGGUGUUUGUUUUUUUUAUUUUAUUUUUAUGCUUCAUAUGUCUUCAAUUUCUUAGCAUUUGUCUUAUAUUUCUUCUUAUCCGAUUCAUUAUUGCAUCCUUGGUCAAUCUUUCACGAGGAGUGCCUACUUUUUUCCUUUUUAUUAUUUAAUUCACUUUAUCUUUAUAUUUUCCUUUUACACUUUAUUUCCAAUUCAAAACGUGUCAAAAAAAAAAAUUGGUAACAAAAAAAAAAAAAAAAAUCAAUUGUAAUGAUUCUUAUAUAAUUUUAUUUAAUUUUUAUUAAACAAUAAAGAAAUUAAAAAUAUAUAAAUUUUUAAAUAAUUAUUAUAGUCUUUCAUUUUUGUGUAUAAUUUCUUUUGCAAGAAAUAGUGUAGGCUUUCCACGGUCUAAAGGAAAUGGAAUAUCAAAUGAGAAGGUAAUAAUAAUAAAGUGAGUUAUAGAUACUAAUCAAACUAAUCCACUAAUGAAUUAUUUAUUUUUAUUUCACAUGGACAAAUCCUAAAAGUUGGAGUUCUAAUUUACUUUUAUGUUAAGCUUUUUUAAGUAAAAAUCUUUUAUUAUUAUAAUUUAUAGACAAAAAGAAACCCAUUAAUGUGAUGGAUAAAAAAUUUCAAUUUAAAAAAAAAAAAAUUAAAGUUGCUAAAUUUUUGUAUUUAUUAUUUCAAACUCAUUUAAAUAAUUUAAAAAUAUGUCUUCAAUUAAUUUUAAUGAAACAAAGCAUGAUUUUUUUUUAAUUUUUUUUUCUUUACCAAAUAAAGCAUUAUUAUAAUACGUUGAUUAAAUUUUCAUCAUGUCUCUCAAGAUUUGGAUUAAAUAUACUUAGUUGUCAUAAAUUUGAAAUUUUAUUUAAUGUAUUUUUUAUUUUAAAUUAAAAAGAUGAAUGCAAAUAAAAAAAAUAUGUAUAUUUUAUAAAAUUUUAAAUUAAACGAAGGAUACGUGUAUUUAACCAAGGUGAAUGAAAUUAAUCCAAAUACUUUUUGGUAACUUGCAAAAUAUCUUGACGAAAUCAUUAUGGCAGGCAUCGUACAAGCUCAACCCUUGUCGCCUUGCUAGAAAUAGAGAAACAAAAAGACCCCCAAAUUGGGUUGCAUCCUAAAUAUGAAGAAGUGGUAACAAAGGAAGAAAAAAUGCUGUGUUAUUGAAUAGUUAAUACAUUGAACAUGAUAUGUUACAUAGAGAGCCAGAUUAAUCCUAGUGGAAUUCCACUGUCACGAUGGUAACCUAGGGUUAUGUUUGGUUAUUGAAAAUACCAAGAAAAGAAAAAAAAAUAUAAAGGAAAAUAAUUUUUUCAUUUUUGAUUGUCUUAUAAAAGAUAUAAAAAAAAAACAAAUAUAAUUAAAACUAAUUAAAAAUUUAGGUAUUUUUAAAUUAUUUAAUUUUUAUAUUAAUGAGCGAAAAUAAAUAAAAUAAGUUUAAAAUAACAAAAAAAAUAAUUUACCGAUUUUUAAUCUAUAUUUUAUUUUACUUUUUCUUUGUAUUUUUUUUUUCUUAUAUUUUCCCUCAAAUUUUCUGAAUCAAACAUAGCAAAAAAGGAGCUACCCCUUUCGAAAGAAACUCCCAAGAAUUUCAAAGAAACCUGCUGAGAUAAUGAAUGAGGGAUCACUGUCGGUAAACAGUAUCCAUUCUUUUGGGAGGACUUUCAAACUGAGAAGUUGUUUUCAUGACUUGGAAACAAAAUUUUGAGCUCUAAGGGGGUCUGUAUUUGGGCCCUAAAAUUCAAUCCAUCAAUCUGAAAAAUGCUUAGGAUAAUGAUUUGAUUUAGCCACAAUCACUAAACAAAUUCCAGAGGAAAAUUUCGCUACUCAUAGGUGGCUGAUUCUCAUAAAAAGACAUCGUGGUAGGGUGUCUCAAGUGCAGGCUCACCAUCAACUUGCUGCCCUUUUUAGAUUAUUGUAAAAUGAUUUCACAUGAAGCCCAAUGCAAAACUUUGAAAGAAAAGGUUGGUGGAGACGUGAAGAAUAUGUAACCCAUAGGCCAUAACUAGUACCGAAGAUUAUUGAACAAACAUUCAAGGUUUUUGUAUAGACGAAACUGAAAAGAAUGUGUACCAGACUCAGGCGUUCAGAUCAGAUGAUGCCGUAAUGUGGAUUGUGGAGGAGCAUUGUGCAGACAGAUAAUGAGAUUCUGAAAGCGAGGCCACUGAUGGGCCCUUGGAAGGGGGGCGUGCCUUCAAAAUUAUAUAUAUAUAUAUAUAUAUGUCAUUGAAAAUUGGAAGCAACUUUUCUUCUUAAGUUAUUUUAAUCGAAGAAGAAACAAAAAGUUAAAAACAUACAUUAUUCUUCCUUCUUACGAGGUUUCCGGGUCUAAAUUACUAUGGUCUCUGCAACUGGCGUCGUUUUCUCUCCCCUCUCUCUAUUUUCCCUUUAUUUUUUCACUUUUAGAAAGAAGCAUCCCAUCAAGAAUCUACUACAACCCUACGCUUCCAUUUUGAUUUAGAAAGUUAAAAAUAAGUUUAAGUUAAAAAAAAAUAUUUUCUUAUAUAAUUAUUUAAACUUAUUUCUUUUCCUUUUUAUAUAAAGAAACAAAUAUUUUGCAAAUAAAUAAAUUUCUAAUUAUUUUCAUUAACAUAAUAAUAAUAUUUUUCAUAUGACUUUAAUCACAAUUUUUUUUACCACUUGUCCAAGGCGGUGAGAGGUGAUAAAAUGUAUUAAAAAAACGAUUAAAUUGCAUUAGGUAUAGAAGUUUUGUGCUUCAAUUAUCACUUAUAAAAAUAAAAUAAAAAUAGUCAAAUUUGAGUGUGCAAGUUGGUAUUCGUAUGUAGAAGGAAUUGGGGGAUUUGGGGGUCCUAACAAAUUUGAUAUGAUUGAUGGAAGGAAAUGAUUAUUAUAGGAUAAAGUCCGAAUGAAACGCUGACGAGGGGGGAAAAACAACAGUGGCAAUGCACUAUCCACAGAUCCAUGAUUGAUUUAUGUUAGCAAUAAUGAAUUAUUUUGACUUUGAUAACCUUGGUUAAGAGAAUUUGGUCUUGUUAUUAUCAUUUUUUCAAAAAAAAAAAGUGUAGGUAACUAGGUAGUUGAUUUAUUAGAAUUUAGAAAUGAGGAUCCCCUCCUCCUGCAAGAGCCGUGACAGACAUGCCUGCUUUCUUGCCAGAUUAUACCAAUGUGCCCAAAUAAUCCCCCAUCUAUCAUCUCUGCACCCUGGAACACGUCACUCCCUCCUUUGAGCAAUAAAAUAUCUCUUUUAUUUUCUUUUGAACCACUCUUCUAUUUCUUUGUACCAGACUGGACCCAUUUAAAUUCUUCGCUACGCUGUUCCCAAGGACUACGAGAAUCAAAAUAGCAAAAUUCUUGAAUCAUUUUAAUGGGUUCAGAAACCACAUGUUUCUCUAGAUCAUAAGAGGAAAAUCUUUUUGGAUGGUGUUUGUGUUGUGUUGUGUUCAAUAUUAAAUACUCAAUUAAAUAAGCUAAAUCAAAUAUCACAUGAAAAAUAAUCAAAUUAAAAAUAGGGAGAAUUAUGUUUUGAGGGUAGAUGGACCCCAAAUUAACAAAAGGUUCAUGUAACUCUUCAAAUUGAGCCCAGACCCAAUGAAAAUAUGGAAAUUGAGUUGAAGUAUAUCAUCAUUCAGUAUUUCCAAAAAUGUCCUUUGUUGAUUUUGAGAAAAAAAUUAAUAUUUUUGAAAAAUAUUUUUAUGUAAUUUAAUAUUUUUUUAAAUACUUUUAUUUAAUUUAAUAUUUUUAAAAAAUAAAUUUAUUUAAUUUAAUAUUUUAAAAAAUAUUUAAUUUAAUAUAUUUUUUAAAUACUUUAAUUUAAUUUAAUAUUUUUGAAAAAAAUUUUAAUUUAAUAUUUUUGAAAAAAAAAUUAUUUAAUUUAAUAUUUUUUAAAACUAUUUUUAUUUAAUUUAGUAUUUUUGAAAAAAAAUUAUUUAACUUAAUUUUAUAAAAUAUUUUAUAUGUGUUCUUAAAGGGUAUAUUUGUCCGUUACUAUUUCAUAUCCUUCAACUCAAUUUAAAGAGUUAUAUGGACCUUUUGUUAAUUUGGGGACCCAUCUACCCUCAAAAGAUAAUUCUCCCUUAAAAAUAUAAAUUUAAAUAUGACAUAAUUAUUAAAUAUGUUAGAUCUUGUAUGAGUUUAUAAGAUUUAUGUUUCAAAAUAACAUGUUUAUAAUUCAUCUAUUGAUUUAUAAUCAAAUUUUAAAUAAAUUAAAGUUAUUCAAGUUAAUAAAUAUGAUUUAUGUUAUAAAGACUAACUAAAAAAUAAUUUAUUAAUUAAACGGAUCCUGGUCAAUAAAAAUUUGAUUUAAAUACGAUCAUACUUAAUCAAAACUUAGGUCAAAUUGUAUUGAUAAAUUACAUCAAAACCUUGUUGUGUUCAAUAUUUUAUAUUAAACUAUUUUUUAAUAAAAUUAUUUUUAUAAAUAUAAUAUUACAUCAUUUGGAGAAACAAAAUAGUAUUAUAUUGAUUUUACAUAUAAAGCAACCAGUUAACCCCUCAUUAUUUUGAUCCAUUUCACAUCCAUAUCAUUCUCAUAAUUUUUUUAUAAUAUAUUAACAUGAUGGACGGUAAUUGAGGGUAGAAAAAAAAGAUGAGAAGAAUAAAAUAAUGUGAAUCCUCUCUAAAUGUUACAUCUUCUGACAAAUGAAGUCUAUAGAAAUGUGUAAAAAAAAAAAAAACACUUAAUUGUGAGGUUCACUUGAUUUAGCAAAAAAUUAAUAUUUUAUUUGUUGUGUGAUUUAAAAAUAAUAUUUUAUUUUUAAAAAUAAAAAAUUAUUUUUAAAGUUUUUUAACACUAUUUUACUAUUGUUCUUUGAAAUAAUUUUUAAAAUUAAAAUGAAAUAACUAAUAAUUUUUAGAUAAUAAAUUAAAGUUGUUUUUAUUAGAUUUUAAAAAUAAAAGAAAAAUAUAAAACCAUUUGAUCAAAUUUUUUUAAACUUAUUUUUAAAAGGUUUUUUUUUUUUUUUUUUUUUUUCUAUCCUAAGUUAAAAGAUAAAAAAUAAUUUUUAAAGAUAGGUUACGAGCAAAUGCCACAAACUUUUUUCUUCUCUUUCCCUUGUUCGGAUAGAAGUGAAAAAUAUCCUCCCAUGGAUCGACAUUACGUGAGCCAUCACCAUUCCCCAACUGCAAUUCAACCGCCAAAGCUGAGGUGUCAUUAUUAGUUUGAACAAAAGUCAGCAUUGUCCACGUGGUGACAAGCGGAACUGACCCAACUUGCAAGGCAAAAAAAUAAAUAAAAUAAAAUGAAAAAAUCAGAUCACCAUUAUGACGUCAGUCCAAUUGCUGACCUGGCCGCCGUCCCCCAUUUGACCCACGUGUUCAUUUAACCCAUUCGCCGUAUGCCGUGGCUCCCCACCCAUAUGGCCAUAUCUGCCAUUUAUUUUAUCCGUUGCCUCCAUUCGGUUUUUGGAUUUUACCCAUUCGCCCUCGUCUAUUCCCAUUUCCGUAUUUGCCCACCAAGGAAAUUCAAUUCCCAUGCUUUUGUUUUACAUUCAAAUCCUCCCCCCUCUAUAUAAAGGAGGGAGUAGGGCUUGAAAGUUUCUCAAGCCAACAUGGACUGUUGAGAGUGAAAGACAGAGGAGCCACAAACAAAUAUCACUCACUCAAACCAAAGCCAAAACCAAUACCGAAUUCAAUUCAAAUGACUUCUUUCUCUCUCAUCAAUUCCCUGAAUUCCGAUUCCGAUUUCAAUUUGUUAUCGGAUUCUUUUUCCUGGGAAAACUCCCUACCUUUCAAUGAAAACGACUCCCAGGAGAUGCUCCUCCUGGGCAUGCUGGCCAGCUCCACUCAGGAAACCUCAGAAACAGUUUCUUUGAAUCGAGUGAAGGAGGAAGAAGUGACUUCCCAGGAAAAUCCCGAGAAGGAGAAGUCAUACAGAGGCGUUAGGAGGCGGCCAUGGGGGAAAUUCGCAGCAGAAAUAAGGGACUCGACCAGGCAUGGCAUAAGGGUGUGGCUGGGAACAUUUGACAGUGCAGAGGCAGCUGCUCUGGCCUAUGAUCAAGCUGCUUUUGCGAUGCGGGGCCCUGCGGCAGUCCUCAAUUUCCCGGUGGAAAGAGUGAAGGAAUCGAUGCAGGAGAUCAAGUGCAUCUUGGAGGAGGGGGGCUCACCAGUGGUGGCCCUCAAGAAGAGGCACUCUAUGCGGAGAAAAAGUCCUUGCAAGAAACAUAAAAGUGAAGAGGUGAGGUUAGAAAAUGUGGUAGUGCUGGAGGAUUUGGGUACUGAAUACUUGGAACAGCUCCUCACUUUCUCUGAGACCUCUAGUCCUUGAUCAUCAUCAUCCAUCACCUGGAUAGCUUCUUCUCUUUGCUCUGUUUCUUACUUUUCUCUCUCUCUCUCUCUCUCUCUCUCUUUUUUUUUUAUGUAAUUUUUCUUAAUGUAUUUUUGGAGAUGGCGGGGGUGUAGUGGUGGCAAUUAUCCAUCUAGAAUUUUUCAAAAGAUAUGUUCUUUUGUUUCUUUGUAUAAAGUUGAAAAGUGGGGAUCAAUUGUGAUGGUGCUCUAUGUUCAUCCACCCAAUUUAUAUAAUCAAGGUGAUUAAUGUUUUUUGAUAUCAACAAUUUGUGAAUGACAUAGAGAGAGAGAGAGAGAGAGACCUUAUUUUCUACACUCAUUACGGUGGUUUCCAUUUGGGGAAGGAAAAGGAAAUGGCUAAGAAUGUUACCAAAAGAAGUGGGGUGGCUUUCAUAUGCGUGGUGGCAUACUUGCAUACAAACUUUUCAAUUGUGUUCUGCAUGCCACUCGGGUCAAUUUCAUUUCUUUUACUCCUAGUAGCCUAAUUGGAUUUCCUUUUUCUCAUGAGACAUCAAAUAAAUUUCAUUUUUUUAUAUUUAAAUAGUUAGGUAAGUUUGAUAGUGAGUUAUAUUUUAUACAUUAAUUCAUCUUUUAGAAUGUUGUCUACAAUAUAAACAGUGUAAUUAAUUUCAUCAUUACAGAACAGUCAUCUUAUAAAAUAACAUAAAAAUUAUUGGAUCACUUGUAUGGCACCACUGAUUUGGACUUGGUAUGGCUCUGUUUGGCUUCAUAGAAAAAAUUUGGACCCAAUUUGAAUGUCUUGCAUAAAAAGAGAUACGUCCCACUUUGAAUGAUAUUGAAGAAAAAAAUUUCUGAUGAAGAAUAUAUUGUUGGCAGGGUCAUGCAGGCCAAUAGGGAAACGAUAAAUUCAGAAGAAUGAGUCCAAACCAGUGGGCUUGAAAAUUAAGAAGAGAAUUGCUGUAUAAAACAAUCAUUUCUUAAUCGAGUUCACUUUCUGAAUAAUCGUCACUUUGAGAAUGCAUACUUAGGAAGAUGAUGAUCCUUAAUGGGAAUAAUCAAAGGCAUCAAAAAAUUGUUCUGGAACAAUUCUUGAUUGUCUCCAGUAAAAUUCAAAGUCAAAAGUCAAAAGUCCAGUCGGUCAACACCAAACCAGGCCAGUCCAAAAGACAUUAAUUUGCAAUCUAGAAUCUAUGAUGAGGUGGCGAAAUCAAACCUUGGCUUUUCACCAGGGAAUGGUACUCUGAAUUUGGUCAGUUCACUGUUUCGAGUGAAUAGGGUGUAGUAAUUAGUAAAUCAUAUUUUAGAUUUGUGUCACAAGUUACAAGGGAUAUGGGCUGACGUUCAAUUUUGGCGACAAUUUGUGGGCCCGUAUAUUUGUUGAGAUGUGGAAAUUGGGUGUGUGCUUUUUUCUGCUACCACAUAAAUAUAUUUCUUUGAAUUGAAGAGUGUUUCAGACCAUUUUUUUUCAAGUCACAAAUGGACAACUGAUUGAGAUUGUAUUGGUGAGAGUAGGAGUUUAUUUUGGGCUGGUUGAGCGAAGUUGAAAGUCGAGUUGGACCUAACCCUUGAAUUCAGCAGACUACAGUCCGAUCCUGUAUUUUGGAUUUAGGGAACCUUCUUUCCCAGAAGCUUCGUCUGGGUUUUAAAGUCUAAAUGUGGCUACUCUUAAACAUUGGAGAAAGGAUGAGCGUUCACAAGCAAAUGGGUAAUUGUGGAUGGUUCAAGGACCUGGCCAGCUGGUCUUCAAGUUUGGAUGCCGGUUUGGGCCUGAGAGAGUCUUUGCAAAGUGACUUCACUUCAGCCUAUGAGAUCAAGAUAUCAUGGUGAUGUCCGAUCACUUAGGUUUCAUUUUCACCUCGGAUUACCGUUACCAUGUUCAUGAAUAAAAAUAAAUAAAUAAAUGAAGCCUUAUAGAGAAAUUAAUGAAGUGAGCUAUACAAGCAACUGGGCCAGGAGCCUACAAGGCAGAAAUUCCCUGCCCUAGACUAGGCCGAAUAAAUUAGAUGAAUGAAUUGGGGAAACCUGGGCCAGCCACACAUCCUCCUGAAGGCUGAUGUCGAACUCGCUUACGAGGAAUGGACAUGGGAGAUUGGGCUGGGACCAAAUAACCAAUUGACAGCCCUAUCCUUGUGGCAAGACGUCAGUAAAAUGGUUCAUUCUGAUUUUACGCUGCCAUUCAAUUUAAUUUUAAUUUUUGUUUAAAGCGAUGUACAAAUUGAAUGGUGUCUAGUCACUUAAAGAGUGGUUCAUAAUACACUUAAUUUAAACAAAAAAGAAAUUAUUAGAUAGGGGAUUCUCCAAUAAAAACCACCCCAUCUUGUCAGCAAGUCCGGAAACUUCCUUCACUUAGGGCGUAUUUGUUUUUUUAACUUUAAUAUUAAAGAAAGUUGGUUAAACCUUAUGACACUUUUAUAUUAUUUUAUGAAUUUUUUUUAAUUUUUAUUUUAAUGGAAUUUUAACUUUAAUACAAGUUGGAGUAAUUCUUAUCUUAAAAACAAAUCAAAAUUACUUUAAUUUUAUAUAGAAAUAAACUUACAGUAAAUUUACCAUGAAAAUUUCUAAGUCAAAUACACCAUAAGUGCUAGUAUUUUAUAAUAUUUAGAAACAUGUUAAAUUAUUAUUAUUAUUUUUUAAAAUUAUUAGUUUUCAUAUUAGUUUUAGGGAAACUUGUGCUUUAGGUCUUUUAUUUGCAAAUAAUAUGGUUUUCAAAUCCUAAGAAUAGAAAAUAUGAGAAUCAACUGUUAAUGUGGAAAAUAAUAUCAAUUUUGUGCAAUCUCUAUUGACUCAUUUUUUUGUGCCUAGAUUGCCUUCACCCACUUCCAUGUCAACAACCACAUUAAUAGAUUGUUUUUUUUUUAUAAAACAAAUAAUUAUUAUGUUUAAAAUUUUGGGGAAACUCUCUAUCUCUCUUACUUCUUCACUACAUCCGAGACCCAUCUUCCUUAAACGUUUGCCUCUCAUUUUGCCCUAACCCCAAAUCUCAUAAAUUUCUCAUUUUCUUGCCUCAUUUGAAAUAUGAAGAUGACCGAUUCUCAAACAUCUCUGUCUCUCUCUUCACGUUUUGACCAGUCUAAUUGGAAACCCAUUUUCCAAAAACCUUCUUUCUUUCAUUUUGCCCUAACCCCACUAUCUCCCUCUUCAAGACCUAAUCACCCAAACUCGAUAUCUAUCUUCCCAAAACCUUCAAGCAAACUGAACUAGACCCAUAUCUUCUUUUUUCAUCAUCAAAGGUGAAAUUUUUUUAAGGCUUUUGGAAACCGAAUUGGAGCUUUCCCUUCUUCUGGGAUUAAUCAUUCGCAAGUGAGUUUUCCAUUUAAGGCUUUGUUUGGCUGUUGAAAUCUUGGGAUCAAAGGUCUUUUAUUUUCAGGUUUCUUGUAUUUUGCUUUAUUUUCUUGUAUAUAACAAUAAUCAUUGUAACAUAUGCUAGUAGUUACCCUUGGUGCAACUUUACAUUUCCAAAUACCCUAAAGUCCAAAGCUUUUAAUUCCCUUUUCAAAGCUUUCAACUUUGAAAGCAGACUAAACCAUAAGAACUAUGAAACUUAUAUCUCUAUCACCACUAAUUAAGCAUGUCUAUGAAUCCUUCCACUUUAAGUCACUUAUUCUCAAACCAAGAAGGGCUCCUCUCAUUCUCACCCCACCUCAUCUAAAUGAGGGAAAUGAUCAAUUGCAGCCAUGCUUUGCACCAAAUUAGAGAAGUGAUCCUCCCAAUCAUCCAUUACCAAAAAUUGAUCAUGCUGAUGAGAUCAUAAGAGUCUAUUCGGAACUCCCAGUUUACUUGCCUCUUAUCUCAGGAUCCUCCAUUACCCCCUGUCUUUCCAACAUCAAAUCAACUUGCAAACAAUUCCUUUGUAGAUAAAAUGUUUUUAAUAUUGCAAAAGGGGACUUAUCAUAAUGGUUGAAUCGAUUUAUUUGAUAUAAUCACUCAAAUUCAAGCUUAAAAUUGAUCAUAAUAAAAUGUUUUUAAUAUUGUUAAAAGGAGAUUAUAAUGGUUUUAUUUGAUAUCAUUACUAAAAUUCAAGCUUUCAAACAUGCUCUACAAAGAAGUUCUAAAAGACUACAAGAAAGAGUUUCCACUAAAGAAAAACAAUGAAACCAUUUCUACUAAAGACAAACAAUGAAACCACAGAUGCUUUGUGAAAUAUGUACCCGCACAAUCCAACAAACUUUAGAAAUUCACAAACACUACCUAGAAUUUUUGCUGACCAGCAAAAAAUUUAUGCAAUUUAAUUCUUAUUGUUAUUAUUAUUUUCAAUGUGAACAAAUAUGAUUGAAUUAUGAAGUAUUUGGCCAGAAGAGGAUCUUGCCUAAUUAUAGUCAUUAAACAACCAUUUAUACCAUAGCCUCUAGACUUUAAAAAGUUUAUAAAACUCAAGGGCUUCCACCCAAUUUCUAGAUAUCUCCAUAACAUUCUUCUGACUAUUAGAAAGCAAUUACCACUUUAAUUUUUCAUUUCAUGAGUGUUCAAUUCAGAAAAAGACCAGGAUCGAACUUGCGAUCAUGCAGUCGAAAAUCCACCUGUGCAUGAAACUAUUGCCUCACGAUUGCAAACUCAAGUUGGAGUCCAGUAACAACUCUAGGUUUGCUGAUGUGCUCCAUUUGAAAUAAAGGAACUAAAGAAUACUUUAUAAAGAUUAAUUACCUUCAUAUUUUAGGUUGGGGUUAAGGCAAAAUGUGAUAGAUUGAGAGGAAGAAAAUAUAUCUUGUUCAGGAAGCCAAUAUUUUGGAGUUCACCUUUCCAUUCGAGUCCACUCUGCUAUAGCAAAAUCAGAGUCACAACUAUGCCUCUUUAAGCUAUCCUUUAAUUGGAUGAAUUGCAGAUUUGGUUGCUGAGAAAGUGGAUAAGAAAGAAAAAUGCAUACUGUAGCUUGAGAUUAAGAGUUUGUUUUCUAAAAUGAGAGAAAGGGAAAGAGAAAAAAUGCAUAUUGUAGCUUGAGAUUAAGGGUUUGUUUUCUAAAAUGAGAGAAAGGGGAAGAGAAAUGUUCGACAACUUUGAGAUGACAAAUUUUUAGAUUUGGAAAAUUUGAGAUGAGUCUCAGGUUUUUUUUUUUUUUUUUUUGUCUUUGUCUUUGUUUUUUUUUUUUUUUUUUGUUUUUUUCCCAAAAACAACCUGUUAAUGUGGUUGUUGACAUAGAAGUGGGUGAGGGCAAAAUGGGCAUAGAAAAAAGAGUCAACACAAAGUGCACAAAACCCAUAUUAUUUUCCACAUUAAUGACUGAUUCUCAUAUUUCUUGUUCUUGGGAUUUGAAAACCAUAUUAUUUGCAAAUGGACCUCCCAAAGCACAGGUUUCCCUUAGUUUUAUGUCUCCAUCUACAUUUUACAUAUAAAUAGAUUAUUUUAUAAAAUUUGUUUUGUAGAUAUAUUAGUUAAUAAUUAUAUAAUUAAUGAUAUAGAAAACAUAUAAAAAUCAUAUUUAAAAAAGAUAAUUACAUAUUCCUCAACAAUCCAUCCCAAGAAUUCGAGGUUGAGUUGAAAACAUGUAGAGUCUUUGAUGUUAUUAUAAUCAUAUCCAACACAUAUGAUUAUUGUUUAUGAGAUAUUAUUAGAAAGUUUGUCUUAAAAUAAUUGAUUUAUUACCCACCUUUAGCAAAUGCCCAUUUUUGCGUCUUUCAAAAUUUUCAUUUUUUUUUUGUUUAAAAGAAGUAUUGUAAAGAAUGAUGAAAUAAGAAAUUUGUUGAGAAAGUGUGAGUAAAUAAUUUUACAUAAAAAGAGAUUUAAUACUUGAUAAAUAAAAUAAUAAAAUCAUGAUUUCUAGUUGUAUAGGGCCGGGUGGAUGGAGUGGCUAAGAUGUAAUUCUUGAAAUAGAGGAGACAACAUCAAUGUAUAAAAGUUUAACAGAGAAGGAAAGUGUGUUUGAAUGACUUUAUUUUCUUCAUUUAAAGUUUUGACGAUGAGUGUUUAUACAAGAUAAAUUUUCAAAUGAUAGGACUCCUAUUUACAUGGAGUUUGUGAUAUACUAUGAUUAUACAAAUUUAAAAUUCAAACAGAUUCAUGAGUUGAUAGGAGUCUGCUCAAUACGCCCCUUCAAAAUGGUGGGAGAUAGCACACCAAUCUUGACUCGAAGGGCCUAAACUCGUGCAGAAGAUGAGGGCUUUGUUAGAGCAUCGACAAGUUGAUCCGUGGUUGACAUAUGGGACACCUUGAGCUCACCUGAUUAAACCUUGUUUCAAACAAAAUGAAAAUCAAUCGCCGAUGUGUUUCAUGGAGAGUGAAACAUGGGAUUUGCACAAAGAUAUGUUGCACCCACGUUAUCACAAGAGAUAGGAGGUGGUGAUAAAUUUGAAACACUAAGUUUUGAGAGAAGAGAAUUAACCCAAAGAACCUUUGAGGCUGUAGAGGCCACGACGUGAUAUUUCGCUUCAGUGGAAGAGCGUGCUAUGAACUUUUGUUUCCUCGAUGACCAAUACACAAGAUUGUGACCAAGAAAAACAAUGGGAGCAUUGGUGGAGGAUCUGACAUAAGGAUUCCUUGCCCAUUCAACAUUCGAAUAUGCAUGUAGAUUGAUGGGCGAUUUCUUAUGCAAGAACAGACCAUGCACCAUUGUGCCGACUAAGUAUCUAAGCAAUCUUUUAACACAAGACCAAUGUGUUGAUGUUGGAUGGUGCAUAAAUUGAGAUAAUUUAUUCAUCAAGAAGGUGAUGUCAGGGCUAGUAAGAGAGAAGUAUUGAAGGCUUCCAACAAUUGACAUAUAUUUAGUGGGACCAGGAAAAGAGGUGUCAUCACACAGAUUUGGAACAUUGUUGAGGAACAUCAAUGAUUGAACUGGUUUGGUAGCCACCAUUUGUGUUUUCUUAAGAAGCUCUCGAAUGUACUUGAGAUAAAAAUAAUCCUUUGGAAGUAUGUAUCAUUUCAACACCAAGAAUAAAAGAUGAAGUCCUGAGAUCCUUAAUGGAGAAUUUGACUGCUAAUUGAGAGAUCACGCGAGCACGAAAAACAUUAUUGUUACUUGUUAAAAUAAGAUCAUCAAUAUAAAUAAGUAGGUAAACAAUGAGACCACUCUUUUUAAAAAUGAAGAGGGAUGUCUCGGUUUAGGAGUUGACGAAGGCUAUUGAGAGGAGAAAUUGGCAAAGUUCAUGAUACCAUGAUCGUGGAGCUUGUUUAAAGCCAUAAAAAGCCUUACAAAGUUGGCAAAUGUGAUGAUGUGUGUAUUCGUGAACCCAGGAGGUUGAAUCAUGUAAACAUCUUCAUGAAGUGUCCUAUGCUAGAAUGCAUUAUUAAUGUCCAAUUCAUGAGUUGAUAGGAGUCUGCUCAAUACAAUGUGGGAGUGUGAUUUCAAAAUUAGGGUAAUUUCGAAAUGGAUUUUGUAUUCACAAGUUGAAUUUCAAAAUUAUUUUGAAAUGGUCUUUUAACUUUAAGCAGUUGUGUUCAAAAGGUCAUAACUUCUUCGUUUCAAUUUUGAUUUACACAUUGUUUAAAACAUUGGACUCUUUACUUCCCGAGCUUCAAAACGAUAUAUAGUAUGCUCAAAAAUGACAUCAGGAUUGGUUCAAAUUUCAUCUUGAUAUUAGAGUACAUGUUGUGAUUAGAUUUUGAGUUCCAAAUUUCCAUGUAAACUUGAUUGCAUUUGCUUCAAACCUCCUUCAUUAUGGUUGCUUGCCCUCUAUCUCACUUUGCAACAUUUGUUACUAGUAUUUUAUGUCCAUGACUUACUCAUUUCAACCUUUCUUGGAUUCUUCAUGGUUCACAAAUUAUGGAUUCUUCAUGGUUCACAAAUUGAGUCUUUCAAUUAUGCAUGUUUAACUCCUAUUUCCUUGGUUGAUAAUGACUUUUACACUUAUCAUUUUCUUUUAUUCUUUAAACCUGAAUUUAGACUUACAAAAAAAAGUUAGAUCCAUAACUAGGGUCUUAGCAUCAAUUUGAGUUAAGUUGGAUGAUUUGAAAAUUUUAUAUUACAUAAAUCAUAUCAUACAUGUGCCAUUGGAGUGCACAUUUUGGCUCUAAUCAUGUUCCAACCCAUUGUUUUACUCUUGCAUGAAGUAUGUGGCCAUUGAUUUUAAUUUUAUUUGCGAUUAGGUUCAAAAUGGUGCUUUUGUGUUGCUCAUGUGUCAUCAGAAGAUCAACUAAUGGAUUCUCUAACAAAACUACUACAUCAUAGUCAUUUUUUUUUUUCUUAAGACCAAGAUUGAGAUCUCCAAUCGGAGCCAACUCCAUCUUGGGGGCAUGUUAGUGAAAGAUAAAAUUUAUCUUUAAUUUAAAUAUUAAUAUUUAUCAGUUAUUAGUUUUAAUUAGAGUAAAAGAUAGAGUUUAAAUUGGAGUAGGAGAUAAACUUGUGUUUGAACUAGAAUAGAAGAUAAAGUAUAAAGAUUUAUGUUUGAAUUAGAAUAAAAUAUAAAGUUUGAAUUAGAGUAGAAGAUAAACUUGUUCUUUAUUUGUAUAUAAAUAUUCAUCAAUUCUUGAGAAGAAGAUUAUUUCAUAGUUUUUCUAUCUUCUUUUUUCUUCAUACAUAUCUGCAAGAAAUUGAAGAUUUCAAGUAAAAUAUUUUCUGUUUUAAAUAGUGAAAAAAGCUAGAAAUUCACUUUGUUAUCUCUUGGGGUAAAUUGACAAGGUUUAACGUUAAGAAGGUGAAUUAUUUUUUCAGAAAAACUGAAGUAGCUAGGAUAUCUGGCCAGUUGUGAUCGAUAAAAAAGUUGUAAAAUCUCUCAUAUACUAAACAGGUUUUGGAUGUUGGUAUGGUAAAUCCAUCUGCAGUCAUUCGUCAUCUCAUCUAGUGAGAUGUUUGGGAGGUGGUGACCGCCGGAUUGGGUUUCAUUUGGUUAAAUCUGUCAGUGGGUUGGCUACUACCCGAGCCUCUUGCUUUGGGGGAGGUGGGUUCUAGAUAUAAUGUUCAAACCAUUUUAGUUAUCAUAUGCAUGACAUGUAAGCAUAAUCUCUUUAUCACUUCUUCAAUGGGAGUUCAUGGUUAGGAAUUGACUUCUUUUCUUCUGGGAUGCUUGGCAUGUAAUGGACAAAGUUACUUUUAUAUCGAUCGAAUUUCUAGUAUUAUAGUGAAGACUUACCCUUUUGACAUUUUAUAUCGAAUUAUAGAAGAUGAAAGGGACAUACAUGCAAUCGACUGACGCUUUAGUGAAUAUGCUGAAAAUAUGCUGAUGCUGUGGAGAUCGUAUGAGGACAGAGGAAAAAGAUAGAAAUGGAUAUAUAAUUAGACCUAGGUUUUUAUUAAAUGAGAUGGGGAACAUAGAGUGAGGGAAAAUCAAAAUUUUUGGCUGCAGUUCACAUUGGUGAUAUUUUGGAUUGACAAAGACUAACGACUUUUCUAUUUUUCUUUUCGGCCUGACUGGAUAGUUGGACAUGGACAAUACAGAAUCCACAGAAGGAUUGUUGGGACCGCUGAAAAUUAGCUAGAAGAAGCUGAGGAAGUAGUCUACGUAGUCAAAUACCAAACACAAAGAAAGAAAGAAAUGGAUAUCAUGGAUGCCUAGAGUUAUACUCCUAAUACCGUCACAGGUAUUUUUCUUUCCUCCUUUUUUUUUCUACGAUAAUUAGAGCAUUUCUCCUCCUCCUCCUCCUCCUCCCCCCACCCCACCACCAAAAAAUAAAAAAAUAAAUUAUUGCAAGUAACACUUCAAAUAUUAAUUUAUACAUUCUAAAGUAUAUAUUCAUGAAAUAACUUGAGUAUCAUACAUUAGUUCUCAAAAAAAAAAAAAAAAAAAAAAAAAAAUUACUGGAAGAGAAAAGUUUAAGAAAACAUAAAAAUAUUCAACUACUAUUUUAAAGAGAAAAUUUAAUUUUUACACUAUAAAUUUGAAGAGAACUUUUACAUGCAUCUUAUAUAAACUACCAUUUUUUGCUAAAAGGCUUAAAUUUGUCAAAAAUACCCCUUAGGUGCUUAACGUUCUGGUCAUAAUAUAAUUGGCAUCUUUUCUCAAACAUAAGGCCUGUGUGUGGGAACAAGAUUUAAUGUUAAUGAGCUUCGCCACCGACAUUUAGUUCCAGAAAUCAUUAUUUUAAUAGAGUGGGCUCAAUUUACAACUUUAAUUAAACUCUAACCAACUGCAUUGUGAAAUGAAUAUGUUUCUUUCGUGGUGAAUCCAAUGAGUUGGGAGUCAAACUUUGCUUCAUUGUGUAUAGAUGAAAUGUUAAGACUCCAUGUAACCUCAAACAUUUCCGCAAUNNNNNNNNNNNNNNNNNNNNNNNNNNNNNNNNNNNNNNNNNNNNNNNNNNNNNNNNNNNNNNNNNNNNNNNNNNNNNNNNNNNNNNNNNNNNNNNNNNNNUUCUUUCGUGGUGAAUCCAAUGAGUUGGAGUCAAACUUGCUUCAUUGUGUAUAGAUGAAAUGUUAAGACUCCAUGUAACUCAAACAUUUCCGCAAUGAGCGGGAGUUCUAAAUUUAAUAAUUGAAAUUGUCAGUGGAACCAGUGGACAAGAGUUGGUUUGUGGUUGACAAACUUAUCCGUUUGAUCUUUACUUGAACAGUUCCAGUGUGUGGAUGGGUACUGAUGAAGUGUGCGCAUUUAUUUUGAGAAGCCUGCUUGUUCGCAUAGAUUUUAACGACAUGAACAUUGUGGUAAGGUUAGAGAGUAAUGCGAAUGUAGGAGCUUAUAUUAGAAAUGACACAAACACGUAAAUAGAAGUAAUCUAUAUAUGAUAUUACUCAUGGACUACAAGCAAAGAAGUACAAUACAUGGAGUAAGUGAUGAAAUGAGCAUUCCUCACUACUACUGCUUGACUGAUGGAACAUGAUGCACGAGAUAGCAUAAGUAGUAGUAGGAAGCAGCUCUUAUUUGUGGCGUCGGUAUACAUCAUACUAGGUAGAUGGUUCAAUUGGCAUGGAUGGGUGGUGGAGCCUUGAAGUGCUUGUGAUGGGGAGCCCACGGCUUCUUCUCAGGAGUUGGUGGCUUCUUGUAUGGAGUUGAUGGAGGUGUUUCUACUGGAGGGUGGCCAGGGUAGUGACCCUGGGGUGGUGAAGGUUCUUUUGUCGGUGGUGGCCUCACUAUUAUUGGCGGUAGAGUUGGUGGCUUGGGCGUUGGCGGUGGUCUCACUACUCUUGGGGGUAGAGUUGGUGUCUUGUGUUUUGGUGGUGGAGGUGGCUUAACAGGAGUUGGUGGCUUGUAUUCUGGGGGUGGUUUCUCCACCGGAGGUGGCUUAUAAACUGGAGUUGGUGGCUUGUAUUCUGGGGGUGGCUUCUCCACUGGUGGUGGCCUGUAAACAGGGGUUGGUGGCUUAUAUUCUGGGGGAGGCUUCUCCACUGGAGGCGACUUAUAAACAGGGGUUGGUGGCUUGUAUUCCGGGGGUGGCUUCUCUACGGGAGGUGGCCUGUAAACAGGGGUUGGUGGCUUCUCCACCGGAGGUGGCUUAUAAACGGGGGUUGGUGGCUUGUAUUCUGGGGGUGGUUUCCCCAGUGGUGGAGACUUGUAAACAGGAAGAGGUGGUUUGUGCUCAUAUGGGGGUGGCUUGUGGUCAUUAGCAAGUGAGGGAGUGGUGAGGACCACCAAUCCAAGGAACAACACGAGUGAGCAAGCAGAAGACAUGUUUGGGCUCUGGUGAUGCACAAGUAGAAGAAAUGGGAACCAUUUAUAAUGCUUCGAGACCUUGGUUAGCACCAAAAUAUGUCAAAAUCUUGAUUACUUCAUUUCAUACAUAGAUUUAAAAUUAUUUCAAUCAACCAUGAUCCUUAAUUUUCUGGGUGGUCCAUAAAUGUAAUGGGGUCAAUUUGGGACCUAACAAGCUGAGAAGUUUGACAAUGCUGCAAGGCUUCAUCCGAAAGUCCGGGGAAGAAUAUUAGGAGUUACACUCCGUUUCCUUUUUUGGGUGCAUUUUUCUCCUUUAACAUUCUAUUCCCUUUUACAUUAGCAUUUGAUCUUAGCUCAUUUCAAGUACAAGUUUCUUGAACCCUAUACCAUUGUCAAAGUUGAGUAACCAUCUCUACUUUGCUCAAGAAACAUAAAAGACAAUGACAAUAAAGAAAAAGGAGAGAGACCAUACGUGACUUGGUUUAUAGGUGGCUUUGUGUUGACAUUUGAGUAUGGAAGCCGACAUGCAUCUUAGCUUCGAUUUUAAUUAAAUUUGUACAUUAGUGUCUGUGUCAUUCAUUUUGGUAUAAAAGGUCUCUUGAUUUCGUAAGUUUGGUAAGAACCGUUGAAAAUAGCAGUAGCAGCACAUGGUCCACUUUCUUUCACAAAAUAAUUUUAAAAGUUUAGAAGCAUAGGAGGUAACAUUAGUGGCCUUGUGGCUCAGCCACGAGUACUAUGUGGUGCUCGAGAAAUUGAGUUUAAUUUCCUUCCGAUAGUUCAUGAUAAGGUCCGUCACUGUCCUGAGACAGAUUGCGUUUUUUCUUUUUUCCUUUUUUAGUGUUUUAUUGACUAGCUAGGUGUGACUUUUCCUACUUUAAGGCACGAGGCAGAAAAGAAACUGGGAUUUAGUGCUUAAGAAGGCAAAUUUAAUUCGAUUUGGAUCUAAAAUUUGCCAGCAACAUGAGAUUUUCCAGCCUAUCGUUGCUCCACAUAUAGACAAGGCACUUGUAGAAGUGGCUUGUUUGUAGCCAUUCCCGAUAUUUGGACUCACUUGAUUCACCGGACACUUUGAUAAAAUUUAAUAUUUAUUAUUUAAUAAUUUAAAUUGAUUUAAAAUUAAAUUAUACCGAAGUUGUGAUUUAAAAAUUAUUAUUUAAUUCUUACUUUUAAAUAUGAAGAUUAUUUGAUAAAAAUAAUUUAAAAUUUAUUAUAAAUUAUCAAAUUAACAUAUUUAUCCUUAUAAAUUAUAAUUAAAACAGAAAAGGUCAAAUGAUUUGAGUAUCCAUAGAUGUGGUAAAAUAAUAAAAAAGAUUAUAAAAACAAUUAUGAUAAAUAAAGAUAAAAAGUAAAAUGAAUAUGUGAAUUUAAAGAAUAAAUUAAUUAUUUUUAUUUAUUACUUAAAAUUAUUUUUGACUUUAAAUUAUAUUAUUAAAUUAUUUUACCAAACAUACUUAAUUUAGUUAAUAAUUUAAAUUUAAUUUAAGUUAUUAAAUUGAUUCACCAAAUACCCACUUAAUCAAAGACUGAAGUAUACAUUAUUUGGCCAAAUGCAGCUAUUGAAAUUUAACUUUUUCCAAACUUAUUCAUUUUGUGGAAAUAUUUUUAGAAAUGAUUUUAAAAAUGCACUAUUCUGUGUGUUGAUUUUAUAUUUUGGCAUUAAUCCAACAUAGAAAACGGUUCUUAUUUUCGCUGUUAAAUAGGUACCAGAUCCUUAAUUAGUGCCGUGAAUCCGGCAGCUUCCAAUGAGUAAUUUGGACUUGGGUAUUGACAAUGUGUGGCCAUGCUUCUACUAUUUUAUUAUUCUUGAAACAUAUAUGAUAUAUUGGACUUUAUACAGGGAAAAAAAAAAAAAAAAGUCUUCACCAAAAAUGAUUCCUCCUAAAAAAUAGACUCCACAAACUAGGUUUAACAGGA